ACCCCCAACCUCAAAAUUUUAGAUCCACUUGGUUUACCUUAAAAUUUUGGUCCAGAUUGAAGGAUAAAGAAAUGAUAACAAAUCAAUCCAUAGCUGGAAGUCAGCCUCCUGAGUGACAGGAGAGGAUGGUUACCCUCAGUCUCACAUCAAUAAUCAGGAAUCAUGUUUUCCCCCAUUCUUUUCCCCUCAAAGCAGCGUUCUUGAUUUAGAUUUAAGAACAUUUAUCAUAACCUCUCCUCAACAAAGAAGAGAAAAAUAAAGGUUGAUUCAUCGGUCAUAAUUGAAAGGUCAACUACCAACAAAAAACUAGAGAACAUCACAGAAAAGAUUUUGAGUUCUCAAAAAGAUCUCAUUUGGUGGCAGAUGAAGAUUUCCAUUAUCAAUCUUAACUGAAACAUCAAUCCCAAUCACCUGAAUCAAUAGACUGGGCCAUCUGAUUGUCUUGGGUGCAAUCCAAGAGAGCUUGGUAAAGGCUUGACAUUGCUCACCAUAAGAGCAUAGUGAAACUCCAAAGACUUGUUCAAGAGUUCCCAUCAAACGAAUUUCUGCAAAUGCAAAAAACCAGGUUCCACAAAAAGAGAGGAAUAAAAGCCAAAUUACAUUCUGUAUGAACCUUCAAAUAAUAAUGCAAACAAAUGGCACCAUUUUUGCAGUUAAGCAUAUCUUCAAGUCACUUCUGCAACUACAUAUUAUCUAUUCUACACACUUAUUUUAUUCAUAACUUCACUUAGCAAAUUGUCUUCUUCCUCACUGAACAAAUCUUUUAAAAAUAACAAAAAUAGUGCUCUUGCAACUAGUUUCAGAUUUGGAAAAGACAAGAACCCAUAUACAAAAAUAAGGAUAAGAAACAUAAGCAAUCAACUAGUUCCAUUUGGAUAUACCCACUCAUUACCGUAAACCAAACAUACAUAAAGCCCUGGAAAGAUCAUAACAAGUAUAAAUAUAUCCACUAGUCUCUCAAGAAUCAAUGAGUAUUCAUGCCAUAUUAUCUGAAAGAAGAUCCUGUUCUCAUCCAACUAGACAUAUUAAUCCAUUGCAAGUUUCAAGGGUUUAGCAUGUCAUCAAAAUAUAGAUCCAUUAUUAACCACAAUCUAUAUUACUUCAAUUCACUCAAGAACAAUGUGAGAGCAUCUAAAAUAAAUUCUUCCUACCCAAUUAAAUUAAGAAACUUAUUGUGGAUGCCACAUGGCAUAUGAAAAAUAUCUACACAAACCUUUUCUGAAAUGGUUGGGAACCCCACUAAAAAUACGGUGGAAUAUUCAGGGCUCUUACUCAUCAAAUAUAGACUAGAAAUGGAACAUAACGUUGCUUAACACCACAAACAAGAUUAUCUCAACUGGAAACCAAGUAUGGAGAUAUCACAAGCAAUUCAAUUUCUAAACAUUCUUCAACAGCAAGAAAUUAAAAUUUAACUAGAAAUAAAUAAAUGAGGACAUUAGAGAGAGAGAAAGAGUGUGUGUGUGUGUGUGCGCGUGUAUUUUUCCUUCCCACAAGGAACUAGAAAGUAGCAUUAGUUAAUACUUUUGCUACAAGUGGUAUCAUUAUUUCAAUAAGAAAAAGAGCAAAUUACCUCAUAUGCCCGACCCUCAACAGAAAAAACAGAUAAUGAAUAGCAGUCUGUCCUGAAAAAAGCAUGUGCUUCUUGAAUGUUGGGAUACAUGAAUAGCAGGAGAUGAUACAAACAUCAAUCAAAGCAACUCCAUAUGAGGGCCAAUUUGAGUAAAAUGAUACAAAUUCAGGAAAAAAAAGGAAUAGAUAUCUCACCGAAAUCAUUCAAUCCAUGACUAAAAGAUAAAAACUAUGUCUGUAAGGAGGCAUAUGUUCCAAGUUAAAGGAAUUAGAAGAACAAGGCCAAAAAGAGAAUUUGCUGAGGUUGUCAGGGAAGACAUGGCAGCUAAUAAUUUAAAUAAAUUUUGCAGCCCAGGUACAGAGACGGAAAAGAUCUGUAUAGCCAACCAUAUGCUUUUGGGAAUUGAGACAAGGUUUUAGAUUUUAAUAAAUUGAAUAUCAACAUGAUGAAGUCACAUUUUUUGUAUUAAUAGAAAUGUUUACUUUCUUAAUUCUCAACACACUAUGAAGAAGACAAAAAUUUAAGGUAAAAAUAACUGCAAGUUCCUCAUCAAUGUCAGCUUCCAUGACACAGCAAAUCCAAAUUGUAUCAGAAAAUGGAUACCAUAAAAUGGUUACUGUUUUAUAGCUAAAUCAUUUGGUGUUUAAAACAGGAUUUCAUAUGCCACAAGAAGAGAUGCUUUGAAUCAAAUAUACUUUUUCUACAUAAGAAAGAUGAAUAUCAGGAUGAUAUACCAGUUGCACAAAAUUGCAAUUGAAUUAUAAUGCUAGGUUUAACUAGAGAGACUUUUAAAAUAUUUCUUCAAGUAUCCAUUAUAUAUUGAAAUAGAAAAGAACAAGUGACAGAGAAAAUAUGACAGCGCCGUACUAAAUGUAGAACAUUGCUAAACCAAGAAAUCCACUGGAUCCUAACAAGUGUUUGUGAUGCAGCAUAUCUGAUAAUCUACCUAUCAUAAAAAUUAUACGAAGAGGAUAUCCACCAAAACAAAAACACAUAAAAAGGAUUCCACAUUAUACCCAAAAAGGUCAGCGACCUGACUGAGGAUCAUGGGCUUGUCAUUUGUUGAAAUUAUAACUUCAUGCAUCAGCCUACAGAAUAAUGAAAAGUAUUGUUAAAAGGACAAGUGGUGAUAUAAAUAAGAGAUAAGAAUGUUUUCCAAUACAGUUGACCAAGAUGUAUCAUGUGCAAAAAGCCAGGAUAUAUUGCAUCACAUCUGUGGUCAAUCAUUUCAGGUCAGUCCCACUCAGGACUAAACUAUGUGAGUGCAGACUGUACAGUAGAUGAUAGACAUUUUUUGUCAAAUUGUCCUCACAAUAGCCCAGUUUCUGCAUAAAAUAUGUGAAAAAAUGAGUUUGCAUCAUCAGCGGCUUACUCCUCAGGGUUGUGGCCCUAUUCUGCCCAGGGCCUCUCUUGUGGCAGCACCCAUAGGGAUCAUGGCUUAAUGGAGACCUGAGCCCAUCUUACAGUGGCCAUCCCAUGGGUUAUGGACUAACUGGAGCCAUGUCCAGUUCCAUCUUCAGCUCCCAGUUGAAGAGUGAGAAUAUCAAAGACAAAACAUUAUGCACCCUCCUGUUUGGAAGUGUACACAUACACUAUACAUUUCAUUUGUAUGGAACUUGAUGUGUGUCAUCUUUUCAUUGUGUAACUAAUUUCACCCAUAAGGUGAAGCAUGAUCUGAGAACCAAACAUCAAACACUGAAAAUGUUGAGACUAGUUUGAAACACUACAUCAUACAACCAGUACCACAAGCUACUACUAGGGAAAAUGAGAAAAGAACUCCUAAUCAAAUACCAAGAUAUUCAAAGAUGCUUACUCAGAAGAGAGUAGAUUGGCAUCCCCGUCACUUUCUCCAUCUUGAACAUGUGAAUUUCUGGCUUCAACCAUAACUUUGAUAUCAGGCAAAAACCAGAGGUAGAUGGUGGAUGAAUGCUGAAAAAUAGGGAGAUAGCCACAAAAACAAAAAUCAAAUUUUAUGGUGUCAGAAAUGAACAAUUUUAAAAGACAGAAGAAGUCAGUACAAGUUCCCAUCUAAGCGGGUAUCAAUUCUUAGUAUAGAAAUACAAUUAGUAGAAAGUGCCACAUCAACUAAAUGAAGUAAACCAAAACCAGCAUAACUUAAGAUGAAAACCAAGUUAAAUUUUAAACAUCUAUGCGGUAACAAAUAAGAACCUACUCAGAAUCCAAUGCAGCUAUAUCUUUAAGUAUUUUAUUCACCACCUUUGUGGCCUGGCACUUAUACCUCCCCUGCUAUGGACAUUCAUUCCCAAUUUCUAAAUUCAGUUUCAACUCAACCAGAGUGAACAGUCCCCUAAUAAAAUGAACCUUAUCCAUCAAAAAUCUUCAUAUUCCAAGCAGACGCAUUCCUCAGAUUCAGCUUAUUUAGGUGGCCAAUUCAUAUCUCAUUAUACGCCCACUCAUUGUUGGAACAAGGGUCCCCAAGAUGUGAGCUCCAAAGUUGCAAGGCAUCUCAACCUUAGCUGACAAGAGCUUCUUAACCACAUCUUGCUCAAUUAACAACUGCUAAACUCUUGCCAAGAAAGUGAUCAUGCAAAAGGAUGAAGCGAGAGUGUUACCAAGUACUAUCAUAAGAAGCCAUAUCAUGGUGACCGCCAGGAGGCAUACUGUGGGUUUCCAUCUCAACCUUGUUCUAAAAAACACACUCCCAAACAAUAAAAACCAAAACCACAAACGGCAUUAUGUAAUUGUAAAAAACACAAUUCCAAACAGUCCUUCAACCAGUAAAAACAAAACACAAAACCCUUUUUCUCAAAAGAAAACUUCAUUCCACCGAGUGCACAGAAACAAUGAACUGCCCAGUCUGAUACCUAAUGCCCAUAUUUUUAUCGCCACGCCCAUCACCUCCCAUUUCCACAGCGCAAGAUGCCACAGAAUUUGCUUCCUUAAGACAGGUAUUUAACACUGAGAACCACAUAUUCUAUGGCUAAAACAAGACUCAGCCAUUCUGCAAUUGUUAAUACACUGCACUUGUUUAGAACAUAUUCUUCUGGUAUAUCUUCAUCUAUGUCAUCCUCCUCAUUGUCAUCUUUUCUCAAUAAACUUGCAGGUGGGUACAUCAACCUUGACUGAGUUGUCAUCCUCACCCGCCUUGAGUUUCGCCAAAAAGUUACAAUGGAAGUAGAAACCAACACAUCUUCUAGGCACCAGCAGCUUUCAUGCCCCAUUGAUGGACCACUCCUGGCUUGUAGUUGAUCAUGUUCAUUGGUCGAGGCCUUUGAUCUCAACAAGACCUCAUUUGGUGGAAGAUGAAGAUUUCCAUCAUCAAUCUUGACUGAAACUUCUCUCCAAUCACCUGAAUAAUGGAAUGAGCCAUGUGAUUGUCUUGGGUCCGAUCCAAGAAAGCUUGGUAUACCCUUGACAAUCCUUACCAUGAGAGAUUAUUGGAACUUCAAAGACUUCCUCAGGAGUUCCCAUUAAAGGAAUUUGUGCAAACCAUCAGGUUCCACACAAAGAGAGCAAUAAAAGAAGAAAGAUAGCAGAGAGAAAAGAGUUAGUGGAGAGAUGAAAGGGAUAAAGCAGAGAGAAAAGUGUGGGUGGAAAAAUUACGCCAUUUAAAGCCGCUAUUAGCAAAGUAUCUAGACUAUAAAUAGCUGCAUUUGAUACUAAGAUAAGCGGUAACAGUUGAAACUGAAGAAGAAAGAUAGGAUACAAUUCUGUAAAUCAAAACCUCCAUUAACAAGCUGUGGACAACGCGACAGAUGAUACCAGAGAGUUCAACUACAAUAUGCUCCUGAUUCCCUAGGCGUUUGAGUCUAAAGCCAAAGUUGAUUCUCAAGAAUUACUAGUUGGGUUUCUAUAUGCUACGAAAAGACACUUCUCAUUGCCACAUCAGAAACUGAAAAUUAAUUAAAAAAAAUGAAUAAAUAGAUCAAAUUUUAGUAAGGUGCCAAGUCUUUGGGGAAGGAGAAGUCAUUUCAAAAAUUAUUUUAGAAAAAAGGGUAAUGUCUAUAAAUAUGUAUCAUAUGAGUGUGCGUGUGGUAGAUUUCUUCAAGUGAUAUGAUUAAAUAACUUCAUUGCAAUAUUUAUAAUUGCCUUCCCUUAAACAAAAAAUAAAUAAAUAAACCUCAAUAGGGAGACAAAGCUGGCAAUUGUCCGUGUUAAAUGUAAAGAGCAUUAAAAAGAAUCUAAAAACAUUCUGUGCUGAACAAUUGUAUGGUUGGCUACAUAUUUCAUGGAUGGAAUUAAAACUACAAGAAAUGUUAAGAAACUAUACAACAGGCUUCAUAAUUAUUCCACCAGAGUUGUCUUGCUGGCAAAUCUUGGAAGACUGGCUUUCGCUCAAUUAUAAUAGGUUAUCUCACAACCAGGCAAAACCUUACUCCAGUUUUAUUAUCAUAAAAAAAAUAUUUACCAUGGAUAAUCCCAGGUCGACCAGCAGGGAGCCCUGACAAGAAAGUUUGAAGCUAUCUGCUGUUCUCAGAUGAGCAGCACACCCCAGUAGAUAGAAAUAAGGAAUUUAACAGUUAGAAAGCACAUGUGAGGAAAUUUCGCAUGAAAAAAAGAAUGCUUCCUGUUCUUCCACAUGAGUUUCCCACCAUCAUUGGAACUCAGAAAUAUGGAUUUUCAGUUCAUAAAGCCAGGAACUCAAAAAGGCUUGACUAAAAAGAUACAUUGUGAAUCCCAAUACUGUUGCCCAUUUUUAGCAUGUUAUUUCUAAUAAAAGUACAGCGUAAUACUGUAAGCAAACAAUCAAAUACAUUUCCUUCUUUGUCUUUUCAUUUGUUCAACGGCUAUGAAACCUGAACCAUAAUGCAAAUCAUGGACAAUUCAAAUCCAAUUUGAGAUCCCACCAGUUCAAAAUGCCCCAUAUUUAGGCUUAGAUCACCUAACAAUUUUCUUCCCAGAAAAUGAAGUUAUUUGGAAUUAACAACUGAAGCAAGAAAAACAAGGAAGUCCUAUAUAAUUUGAAAUGUCAAAACAGGAUUCCAUAUAUAAAUUGAAUAUAAGGUAGGAGCACAUGACUCACGACAAAAGUGUUAAACACAUUAUCUACAGCAUCCUCACCCUAGUGGCCACCUGUUUGAGAGCAUAGAUAAAAUUCUCCUAGAUAGAUUUCUCCUUCUGCCUUUUCCCUCUUCCCUCUAAGAUCUCUCUCUUUUUUUCCACAACCUGUUCAAGAUCUUGUGUCAGUACAGGAAGAUGCAUAAUAAAGUAAAAUUUGGAAGUUUCUAAAAUCUUCCAUACCUUGCUAGCUAUCUGCUGCAAUAUCUCCAUAAUUUCAGUGAAUUCAGGUCUUAAAGAUGGUUCCUGGUGCCAGCAUCUCUUGAUCAAUUUUACAAGUGAUGGAUAAGUGUGACUCGGAAUAGUAGGCCUUAGACCCUAAAAUGCAUGUCAACACAAGUGAUGUCUCUUAUUUCAAGGAUUCAAACAAUUCAAUCAGCACAUCAUCAAAUUGAUUUCACAGAAAAGAUCGGUACUUGUAGACAUUAUAGGCCUUUUAGUUCCAUUUGGCAUGAGACCAAAGCAAGUCAUUUCACAGAUUCUAGGUAGAGAGGGGUGCCCUUAAAUAAAUGUUUAAGUACAUGUAUUUUUUAUCCCCUACUUGGAGAGGGAAGUUCUAAGAAGAUCUGUAUUAUUCUUAGAGCCUAAACACCAUGUUGCUUUCACCCAAGUCCGUUUCUAGUUAUGAGCAAUUGGUAGAGUAAGAAGGUAUAUUUUCUCUUUUUCCUCAAUGUUAAAUUGCCCAUGUAAAUUAUAAAUCAUGCCAAAUAAUUGCCAAAAGAAACAUCUUAAAAAGAUGUAACAUCCACUAAUUGCCUUUUCACAAGACACUAACCCCCUUGAUUUGUCCCAGCAGGUUAAAUACUUGUCUAGAAGCAUGUGUGCAUUUCAAAAGCAAUGCAUUCUUAAUCCUGAGAAUGAACUUCUGUUUUCUUCCUAUUUUGCUCCACGAGGAAAGGAAGGGGAAAAAAUAUACACAUACACCCAACCAAUAUAUGCAGCACAAAGGUUAACAUUCUUAUUCUUAUCCAAUGUUUGAUGGAGGAAUACCUUCUGGACCACACCAACUGCAGCUUGUAAUGGGGUUAAGUGCUCAUAAGGAAGCUGGCAUAUUAUUUACAAACAAUAAAUGAUGAGUUCAUCUGUGCUCCACAAACCAAACUGAACCAAAGAUGAACAGAAUUUUUAAUCUGCAGACUGUUUCAUGAUUUCUACAAAACAAUAUUAAGAUCACUGUUCAGUAUUACCUUUCCUGUUAGAAGCUCCCACAAUACAAUUCCGAAGCUGAAAACAUCAGCCUUGUGAUCAUAUGGUUUAUGUUCAAUGACCUUCAAUGCAUCAAAAAAUGUCAGAAAGCUGCAAAAUAUGUUCACCAAUAAAAUUAUGCUAUUGCAUUAACUGGAAUGUGAUUGGAAAAAAAAUGCAAGACAACAAUAUUUACAGACUUAAAGACCAAACAAUCUCAUCAGGACAUGAAUGGUUUACACGGCUAAAAGGCUAGAUGACGGAAAUAGGAAUAUGUCAUAUCACUGAAGUUGCACAAAAUAAGACAUCCAAUAUCUGAAAUGAUUCUGUGGAACACAGACCUCUGGAGCCAUCCAACGAUAAGUUCCAGUUUCAGCAGUCAUGACUCCAGAUUGAGCUUGUACUCUAGCAACACCAAAAUCAGCAACCUUAACAACCUAAAAGCAAAGAGAUUUGGAUAUUUUAGACAGAUCAAAUUUUGCAAAUAGUGUGAUGCAGUUAUGCAUAAAUUUGAUAAAGCUUCUAUUAACAAGGAGCCACAUGACAGAAGGACAUGCAGCAGAUAAAGCAAUGUAUAUAAGCAGGAGAUAUGAGCAAGCUACACAGUUUUUAAAAAGAAGAAUGGUUCCUACAGUUUUGAAACCAUCUCUCCUUUAAAAUUUUAGAUUUCUUGAUUCACAUUAAAAUUUUAGUUCAGAUUGACGGAUAAAGCAAUGAUAGCAAACAAUUCAUGGCUGGAAGUCAGCCUCCUGGGAGACAGGAGAGGUUGGUUACACUCAGUCACACACCCUAAUAAUUUUGAAUCCUGUUUUACCCUUUUCCCCGCCUCAAAGUGGUCUUGAUUUACAUUCAAGCUUUAAGGUUUUACCUCUUUCUCUUUGCAUCCUUUACUACUUUUAUCAUGACCAAUAUGAAGUACGCCCCAAGGAAGAAAAGAAAAAUAAUAGUUGAUUAAUCAGUCAUAAUUGAAAGGUCAACUACCAACAUAAAACAAGAGAACAUCACAGAAAGGAUUUUGAAUAUCAAGGAAACCACCAGUCAAGAGUUUUCUCCUUCAUUAUAUUUAUUUUCAUCAGCUCAAGGACUUUCCAUUUGAAAAUAAAGGUAACUAUUUCAAAUAAAGAUUAUUAUAUUUUUUUGAAUAUUCCAAAGAUUAAUUAUAAUUGCCAAAUCCCACAACCCUUGGAUCCUAGGAGUUUAUAAUAGAGGACACUUUCACAAUAGUCUAAAAUGUACACAUCCACAUUGAAUUCUUGGCAGGACCAUAGCAAGCUGAUGAGGGUUGUAAUUACAAUUAAAGUGAAGCAAAACAAAACAAAGAAAUGCAUUUUAGCAAGUGAUAGUAAUCACAAUGUGUCAUGUAUACAAUAUGAAAACCAACCCAAUCCACUCUAAAAUUUACACAUCCAUAUUGGAUUCUAUUCAGAUCCAUAGAAGGCUAAUGAGAGUUCUAAUUAAAAUUACAGUCCAGCAAACAAAACAACCAGAAAUAUAGCAGCAUGGUAAGAGUUGUAAUUACAAUUAAGGUCAAGUAUGUUAGAUGGUAUUUUAGCUUAGUUAUUUCAUAUUAUCAAUAAGGGUAGAAUAGUCUUUUAGCUUUUCUUGUUAGCCUAUACAAAUCUUUUUAUGUAAUCUGUUUCUCAGGCCUUUGGUUAAUGAAACCCUAGCUUUCUUUUUUUCUCUUCUUCUUCUUCUUUGUCUUUAUAAUUCUCACAAAGUAAACAGAACAAUUAAAGUUAUUUCAGCAGGUGAUAAUUAUACGUGGGUUCAGACACCACAAAGCACUAACCCAACCCAACUCAACCAAUAUGAUGAAUCCAUCCCACUAAUUUGGCUACAUAAUCACAUAUUAAAUGUCAUAUAUUGGCAAGAAUGAAAUGUCUUACUUUGUUUUCAUCCAUCAGAAUAUUGGCAGCUUUCAGGUCCCUGUGGAUUAUGUCAUUUUGAUGCAAGUAAUUCAUUCCCUUGGACACAUCAAUUGCUACUUUGAGCAAGGAUGGAAGCUUAAAACUGCCCUUUUGCUUAUGCAGAAAGUCAUAGACACUUCCACCAAACAUAAACUCUGAGAAGGGGAAAAUGCAAUGAAACAAACAAUACUCAAAUUCAAUCUUAAAAUCAAAGAAACAAGAUUAAAAAAAAAAAUGAAUAAUAAUGAACUGAUCUUCUAAAAUCAACAAAUAUUACUUUGAUGCCAUGCAAUAGAUAUAUGCAGAAGGUUAUCUAACUUACCAGUCACAAUGCACAGGCUUGGAGGUCUGGUACAUGCACCAAUAAAUUGCACAAUAUUCUUGUGCCGAACUUUUCUGCAAGUUUCAAAGCAAGAGUUGGGAGAGGCAAAGGUAAAAUAGUUCUUGAAAGAGAUGAAUAGCGAUAGACAAUAGCAGCCAUCUUUCCUUAAAUAAUCCAUGGCAUAAAAAAUAAAUUAGACUACCUAAUGCAAUCAAGAAGUCAAGUGGAAUGUUGGACAAUGCACCCUGAUAGUAUGACAACUUGGUUAACUAUAUUUCAUGAAAAACGUGCAACUCAACUUCAUGUGCAAUUGUGCAGGCUAUUGAAGCAACAGAUACUUGUGAGAGUUCAUAAAUUUUAAAACCGUAGUACUUCCAAGCUGAAAAAGAGGACUAAGGGGAUCGAGUUUUAAACCAAGCAGCUCCCGAGGUAUAGGAGCUUUUACCAGGAAUGUACUGUGACAUAAAAUAAAUUUAUGUCUGCAAACUAAACUUGCAGGACAAUAAAUUUGUUUCAAAUUAGCUCCAGGGAAAAGAAGUAGUGUUAAGAAAUUUCACCAUCCAUGCUCUCACAAUAAAUGAGUUUCACAAGUACUUCAACUGGCAUAAAAAUAAACUAAAAUAAACUAAACCAGUGCAUUUCCUCUUCAUUAACUGGCAGUACAUUUAACUAGGGAGCUAACAACUACAAAAUUUAACUAGGACGCUAACAACUAGACAGCUUGUCAAGUGAAUGCACUACUUCAUCUUGAACAGAUAUUAUUCAUGAAUAUCCCCAUAUUAGACCACUUCAGCUUAAGGCAAGCCUUAUAGGAGCUUAAGGCAAGCCAGAGGGUUGCCACUUGGCUAAUGAAUGCAGUACUUCCAACUCAGACAGAUAUAUUCUGGACCAUUCACAUAUUUAUGACACUUCAAAUGAAGACAAGCCAUAUAAAUCUACUAAUCACACUAGAUUUACUUAUACUUGAAGGAAACAACACCAAAGGGAAUUACAAGCCUAUGUUAUAACAAACCUCAUAAUAUAGACUUCUUGAGAAAAUUCCCUCCACAUAUCUUCAUUUAAAUGCUGAGUCUUGAGAACUUUAAUAGCCACAUCCUGGCUACAAAAAGUACCUUUAUACCUGUUUCAAUCAAACAUACUCUUAAAUAAGCUCUUAUACCAUCAUACAUGAUCAGAGCCAGGGUCAACCAUAAGGCCAAAACUCACAAAUCACCAUACGAUCCAGAUGCAAUUUUGUUUUCAAAUUUCAACAGCGUGGCAUCAAUUUCCCAGACAUCAGCCCCAUCAAUGGUUAAGUUUAUGUGACUAGGGAUAAGCUGUUUUUCAGGGUGUCCUUGCUCCCUCCCAGGAGAUAUGAGCUGGAAUUCUGACCAAGGUUGCUUCUGCAGUACACCUUAAAAUAUUGGAUGAUGCUAAAUUUUUAGGAAAAUGGCACAUAAGUUUAAAAAUUUAAGCACAACUUGAUUCAUAUAAAAUCAACAUGGCAUCAUGUAAGAUGAUUGAGAGCACUGGACAUAGAGAUUUGGCAGUAAUGAUUCCAACCUCUUUCACAGGAGCAUCCGGAGAAAAUUCAAAAUGCUGAUAACUAAAAAAUCACAAGAAUUGGAUGGAAAACAAAAACCAUAAAAAUAAAAAUAAAAUGUAAAAUAAUAUAAAAUAAAAUCAUGAGCUAUGCUAUAUAGCUAUUAUUGUUCAGAAAAAGAGGCAAGAUGCAGAGGCCAUUUUGUCAGCCGAAGGUGUAAGGCAAAGCCACAUGAAACAAAGUAUUAAAACUUGAAAUUUUCAUGAUAUGUCAACUCAAUAUCCUGGAGGAACAUCAAGGUCUUCAAGAUUAUUAUAGGGCCUUAUGUGCCAACAUUGGUGUAAGGUUGGGUUCAAUCACGCACAACAAGGUGUUGCAUGACACAGCUGUGCUAGUAAGGUGUGUGUCUCACUUACAUUCAGAGUCAGCCAGACCAUGUGUCUCAGCACCAAAAGGUCCUAUCAGCAGCAGAAUCUCAUUGGUCCAUGACACAGGUCAACAAACAUUAAAAAAAAAAAUCGAAAUGGAGAAAAAAAAAAUGAAAUAGAAAAAUAAUUAACCGACAUAUUUUGAACACUCCUAAUUUGUAGGAGAUAGUAUUAAUGAUAUUUUUCAAAAAUGAGAAGUUAAAGCGUUAUAGAGCCACACUUAUGGACACGCGAGAAUAGUUGAAAAACUGAAGAAAAUCUAAAUUGAAAGCCAGUGAUUAUCAAUCCCUUCAUCGGGGAACCACAGAGAACCUUUAUAUUGACAUGAAGCAAGGUUAAUGGGUUCUCUUAUUCUUAUAUCAGGAAGAUAUGCAUGACAGAAAUUUCCUCCAAAAGUUUAGGUAAAUAUAAUUGGUCUUGUUCAAACUCUCUCAGCUCUCCAUUUUUCAAACGUAUUGAAUUCCUUCAAGAAUCAAUUUUGAAUAGAACAAAAUCCAUCUUUUCUGUUCUUGAAUAUUGGUACUUAUGACCUAUAUGUAAGUUUGCAUCCAAUUAUUGAUUUUCUGAAUAAAUCAAACUUGUCUAUGACAAAGAAUAUGAAACUAUCAGUCCCAUGUGGCACCAAGCAUUGGUGAAUUAACCCAGUCAAAUAUGACAAUAUGCAAGAAUCAACAUAAUUCUAUCAUGAUGGAACAUAUCAUCUUAAUUUGUACAUGGUUUAUGAAUAUAAAAUGUUUUUUAUCCUCAAAAAACAUAUCAGAAUUCACUGCUUUAAAACUUUGUUAGUUUAGUCCAUUCUCCCAUGUGUAGAAAGUGGAAGAUUGACUGUUUAAAACAAUUUUCAGAAAGCUGAUAUGGAGUACUAUAUCAAAAACUACUUUGGUGCUCAAAAUCCUUGAACAAGAAAUACCCUUUCCUUCAAUCAGCUGACUUGCCAGACAGAUUUGAAGUCUAGUACCCUACUUAGUAAAAGAGAGUGACAGACAUGACUGACCCUUCUGAUAACUGACAUGAAUUCAGAACCACCUAACCUAAUGUCAGACCUAAAAACAAGGAAGAAACAGUUUAGCAUUUGGACAAGUAAGAAUUGCCAUAGCCUUAUAAAACAUUGCUGCAUAUUCAAAUCAUUUUCUUAUAAGAGUUUCUCUACAUCCUCCUUUUUUCUGCUAAAUUAUCAUUAAUCUGCUAGUUCUCAUAUGACCAUCAAUGGUUCUUGUCAACAACACUGCAAAAUAAACACUUUACUAGCAUAGACUUAAUUGCAAUAAGAGGAAGUGAUAUGAUGAGGAUGAAUCUCUAAGAUAUACUUCAAGAAAGGGGAUUUAUAUUAGUUGCAAUUAAAGUACGAUUGUUAAUUGGAAUUAAAUUAGUAUUAAUAUUUGUUGUAAUCAAAUUAAGAUUAACUAAGUUAUAAGACAAUUAGAAUUAGAGUUAUAAUGGGUUACUAGAAUCCUAGUAGACUUUAGAUUUCUUAGAGAAACCUAUAAAUAAGGUUAAUUGAUGUAAAUCAAAGUAAUAAAUUGAUUGAUGUUGACAAUAUUAUGUUUUUUUUAUUGCAAAUGUUGCAAUCCUCAAUAGUGAGACUCCAUUGAUUUUCUUCUAAGUGAGACUCCUAGAAGGCCUUAGUGAAACUCUAAGGUUUCUAUCUCUUCUUCUUCAUAUCUUUUGUCUCUCUAUUUUUUUAUAUCAUUUUUCUCUACCAUAAACUUUAUUCCUUGUUCCCCUCCUUACACCCUAAAAAAUAAAAACCCUAACCCACCUACUUGAUUGUAGGCAACCACCCUAGGGUGUCCUACAUCAUGGUAACUGGGUCAUAUCAAAUUAACUUCGCUAACAUAACCAACAGAAAUAUCCCCUUGGUUUUGGUGUUUAAUUAAUCAGAAAAUAAAUCAAUAAAAGGAUAUAACUUCUAUAAGGAUGUCAUUUUAACAAAAACUAAAUGAAGAACUGAAAAGAAAAACAAAAUAGAAAGGAAAUAUUCCAUCUUUCUCCACGAUAAGGAAGGGCAAACCUCAAAAGCUAAUCCUGGGGCAGUCUCUACCAUAAAAAAUAAAAUAGUAGUGUCUGCCUGAAAGCUUCAUGAUCAACUCAGAAAUACAUAAAUUAUCAUUAACAAGUAGCAAGUAAAGAGGUUACCUCAAUCAUUUGAAUUUCCUUUAGCAGUACAUUUCUAAGCUGCUCAGUUUCCUGAAGUUUCCGAGAUGUAAAUAAAUCAAAAAGCUGAUGGAGGAAGAGAAAGAUCAAGAAAUUCGUCAUAGUCCUAAUUUUAAGGAAGCUAUUCAUUUAAAAUAACAUAUGACUAAAGCAUAAAGAGUCCACGAUAUUUUUUUCUAGAAAGACCAAAAAAUUCAUAACUUCAAAUUAGACAAAAGAAAUAGAACCACCUAGUCCAACAAAUUGGUGACAACGCAUUUUAGAAGUUUAUAACAGAUAUGACUGAAAAACCAAAACACAUUCUGUAUGUACCUUAAAACAACAAUGCAAACAAAUGGUGCUAUUUUUGCAGUUAAGAAGAUAUUUAAAUCACUUCUGCAACUACAUAUUAUCUACUCUUCACACUCUUUUUGUUAUAACUUCCCAUCAUAAAUUGUCUUCUUCCUCACACAAGUCAAUUAAAAAAUAACAAAAAUAGUGCUCUCGCAACUGGUUUCAGAUUCAGAAAAGGCGAAGACUCAUAUACAAAAUUAGUAUAAAAAAAAUAAGCCAUCAAAAAACCUCAUCUCAGGUAUGAAAAAGAAGGUCCAUUUUCCCACGUACUUCCUCGGUCAAACCAACCCUGUCCAUUUGCAUAUGCCCACUCAUUACCUUAAACCAAAAUUAUCAGAAUGUACAUAAAGCAAUGGAAAGAUCAUAACAAACAUAAAUACAUUAUGUUGCAACUACCAUCUUCCACUAGUCUCUCAAGAAUCAAUAUGUAUUCACACCAUAUUAUCAGAAAUGACAAUAAAUGUGUCCAAGAAAACUCCAUUCUCAUUCCACUAAGCAUAUCACUCAUUAAAUAUAGACUAGAAAUAGAAUAUAACUUUGCUCCACAUCAUGAACAUGAUUAUUUCAACUGGAAACCAAGUAUUGAGAUAGGACAAGCAAUUUAAUUUAUCAACAUUGUUCAAGGACAUGAACUUAAAAUUUAACAUGAAAUAAAUAAAUGAAGACAUGAAAAAAAAAAAGCGAGAGUUAUUCCUUCCCACAAGGAACUAAAAAGUAGCAUUAGUCAAUACUCUAGCUCAUCCCAUGUAAUCAAUAAGUGUUAUUGUUAUUCAAUAAAGAUAAAAGAGCAAAAUUACCUCAUGUGCCCAGCCCUCAACAACAAAAACAUCCAAGGAGUAGCCAUCUGUCGUGGAAAAAGCAUGUGCUUCUUGAAUGUUCAAUCCAAUAUCAGAAAGUAAUGAGGUCAACUGAGAGAAAGGAAGAUUUAAAAGAUAAAAUUAGAAAAAGAAAGUUAUUUAUAGACAAUUAUUACAGCUACUAGAUGAACCAUUGAAAUUUUCACAAACUUUAAAAUCACCAAUUCUAUCUAUCAUCAUGCAGUUACUCGGGUAAAAGAUAAGCUACGAAUAAGUCCUUUAAAGAGGGAAGUCCAUAGCAGAAACUGCAUCUGAAGAACCAAAAAUAAUAGUUUCAUUCAGAUGAACCACUGAAAUUUUCACAAACCUUAAAAUCACCAAUUCUAUCUAUUAUCAUGCAGUUACUCAGGUAAAAGAUAAGCUACGAAUAAGUCCUUUAAAGAGGGAAGUCCAUAGCAGAAACUGCAUCUGAAGAACCAAAAAUAAUAGUUUCAUUCAGAACUAACCAUGAAAUUGGAAGAUUAGUGCCCAAUCACAAGAGAAGAGUCUAACAAACAGAACAAAACCAACACUCUCUAAGCUGCAAGAUGCACUAGGCACAAGAAAAAUGUCCACAGAUGAACAUAGUUGAAAAAGAUGGUGGGAUACAUGAAUCACAUGAGAUGAUACAAACAUCAAUCAAAGUGAUACCAUAUGAGGGCCAAUGAAAGACAAAGGAUACCAAUUCAAGAAAGAAGGAAUAGGUACCUCACUCAAAUCAUUUAAUCUAUGACCAUUGACCACAAGACAAAUAGCCAGUUCAAUUAGGAGGCGUAAUUUUCAAGUUGAAGGAAUUAGAAGAAAAAGGCCAAAAAAAGAAUUGGCUGAGGUUGUCAGGGAAGACAUGGUGGCUAAUAAUUUAAAUAAAGUUAGGGGCCCAGGUAAAAUGAAGUAAAAGAUCUGUACUUCCACCUGAUAUAGUCACAUUUUUUUUUUUUUUUUAACUAAUUGAAACAUUUACCAUCCAAAUUCUUAACAAACUAAAAAGAAGACCAAAAUAUUUAAGGAAAAAAUUAACUAUAAGUUCCUCACCAUUGUUAACGUCCAUGACACAACCAAUCCAAAUUGCAUCAGAAAAUAGUUACUCUUUAAUAGAAAAAACCAUAUGGUACUUAAAACAGGAUUUCAUAUGCCACAAGAAGAGAUGCUUCAUAUCAAAUAUAUUUUUUUGCAUAAGAAAUAUGGAUGUCAUGACAAUAUGUUUGAGAAUAGCCAUGUUAAGGUCAUGUUCUAUAUACCCCAGUCACAGAAAAUUGCAAUUGAAUUACAAUGUUAGGUGUAUCUCAGGGGAGCUCUGAAAUAUUUCUUCGAGUAUCCAUCAUACAUUGAAUUAGAAAAGAACAGACAACAAAAGAGAAAAUGAGACAGUGCCAUAUAGAAAACUGGUUGCUAAGCCAAGAAAUCAGAUGGAUCCUAACAAGUGUUUGUGACACAGAGUAUACCCAUCCAAAAAAUUAUAUAGAGAGGAUAUCUACCCAAAAAAACAUAUAAAAAGGAUUCCAGAUGAUACCCAAGAGGAUCAGCUACCUGAUUGAGCUUUGACACAGAAUAUCUAAUAACCUACGCAUCCAAAAAAUUAUAUAGAGAGGACAUCCACCCAAAAAAACCAUAUAAAAAGGAUUCCAGAUGAUACCCAAAAGGCUACCUGACUGAGGAGCUUGGGCUUGUCAUUUGUUGAAAUUAUAACUUCAUGCAUCAGCCUACAGAACAAUGAAAGUAUUAUUAAACCAAUGGACAAGUACUUACAGAAAUAAGUGACAGGAGUGGUUUUCCAAUACAAAUGACCAAGAUGUAUCACGUCUAUAAAGCCUGGAUAUAUUGCAUUGUAAAUGUGGUCAAUCAUAUCAUAUCAUGUGGGUCCUACUCAUGACUAAACUGUGUAAGUGCAGACUGCACUGUAGAUGAUGAACAUGUUUUGUUAAAUUGUGUUUUGCUUAGGUCCAGUUUCUGCAUGAAAGAUGUGACUAAUGAGCUUGCAUCACCGGAAGCUUGCUCCUGAGGGUUGUGCCUGUUCAGUCCAGGGCCUCUCUUACUGCAGCACCAUUAGGGACCAUGGCUCAAUGGAUAUCUGAGCCUAUCAAACAGUGACCAUCCAGAACCAUGGCCGGUUUGGUCUUCAGCUCCCAGUUGAAAAGUGAGAAUAUCAAAGACAAAACACUAUGCACCCUGCUGGUUGACAGUGUAGACAUACAUUGUACAUUUUAUUUGUAUGGAACUUAAAAGUGUUUCAUCUUUUCAUUUGUGUAAUUACUUGCAUCCACAAGGUCAAGCCUGAUCUUAGCACCAAAUGUCAAACACCAAAAAUCUUGAGACUUAUUUGCAACACUACAACAUAGAAACAGUAUCACAAGCUAUUACUAGGGACAAUGAGAGAGAAGGUCUCAAUCAAAUAGCAAGGUAUUCAGUGGUCAGCACCCUGAGCUUUGGGUCCUCAUGGAGAGUCCCAAGGAUUUGGCCAUGGAAGGUUCCUCAAUUAUCAAAAAUACUAACCUCCAAAAGCGUAGAUUGGCAUCCACAUCACCUUCUCCAUCUUGAACAUGUGAAUUUUUGGCUUCAACCAAAACUUUCAUAUUAGGCAACAAUCCAAAGGUAGAUGGUGGAUGAGUGCUGAAAAAUAGGGAGAGAGCCCAAAAAAAACAAACAGAUUUUGUAAUGUGUCAGAAAUGAACAAUUUUAAACUACCAAAGGAGAUGGUACUACAAAUGCAUGUUGAAAUAAUCUUGCCUCCUCUGACUGGUGUGAUAAUGACUUUGAGCAUCCACCUUUUUUAAAGGGUUUGAAGGAUCAGAAUCACCAUGAAUUCCACCAGAAAUGGGAUGGACCUGCAUAAAAGAGAGAUUGCCAAAAAGCAUUUGGCCAAGAGAGGUUCAAACCUCCAAUGAGAAUGUUGGUAAAACUAAAAAAAAAAUUAUCGAAAGGCAUGUGCAGAUUGUAUAUCAUCCAACAGUAGUACCCAUAGAAACCAACUGGCAAAAAUAUAAUUAUGAAAAAAUUGUACAGUUUUUACCUACAAAGAGAUUACCAGAAUUAACCUGUUAGCAUAAUAACAAUUACAAUUAUGGGAUUCUCCUCCCGCUUUGAUUAAAAACUUACAUAUGAUGUGACAAAAUGGAACAACAAACUAUGGUCAAGUAGUAAAGGAUACAUAAAACCAGGUUGAGAUGAUGCAAGUAAAAAUUAAGAAAUGCAAAUCGUAUGCAAACUUUGAGAAAUCUGAAGUUGUAGGAACUGAACAAAAAACAUUUACUUCAUAUCUUGUACCUAUAUAAAAAAUCAACAAUUGCAAACAAAAAUAGUUACCUACGAGAAAUAAAAUGGGGUGAAAAACUCUCUCUCAAAAGCAUCUGUCACAAAACUACAUAUUUAUUUUGCUUGGUGGGUGUAGGACAUGGAAGGGGGAAAAUGUCUGGAUAAACAACCUAAUUACUGAUUUGAACUUCAUGCAUCAUUUGCCGCAUGUGCACAAACAUCUAGAUCUGAACAAGCACUUGAUCUUUAUAAAAUGUGAAAAUACCGUGUCCCCCUGAUAACAGUAAUAUUUUCCCAAAUUCGAAAAAAAAAAAGCAAUCUGGAAAAAAUAAAGAAAAUCAACAGUAUCAAUUUUUAUUUUUAUUUUUUUAUAGGUAAAAUCAACAGAAUCAAACUGAUGAAAGGGUAAAUUCUACAAUUUUAAAACAGGCAGAAAAGAAACAACCAACAGAAACCAAGGCUACCACAAUUUAAGGAAAAAAGAAAAGCAUGAAGAUACCUAUUGCUGUUAAUGAUUCCGCAAUAUCUUCUUGCCAGGAGAUUUACCUGCACAAGGCGGACUUCAAGUGCUGGUCUAGUGGCUGGAUCAUGUGCCAAUUGUAGUAGUCUCUUGUGUGUAAGAACAUCUUCGGCCCUCUCUACAUUUACAUCAAGCGCAUACCUAUAAUAAACAAAUCAAAGCCCUCAAUGCAAGCGGACGUAAACACAAAACACUGUUACCAACACAUACAUCAAACACCGCUAUAGAAUUCAAAAAACUUAAAAUCUGAGUCAAAUCAUUAUAUUCAAAAAGAAAAACUAAAUGAUAAAGAAUUAAAAGACAGAGAAAGGAAAUAGUAAAUCCAUUCGAUACAAUCCUCUGUUUUCACUAAAAAAGGCUGCUCAUGACCUUCAAAAUUAUUCCCUGGAAUAACACUGUUACCAACACAUACAUCAAACACCACUAUAGAAUUCAAAAAACUUAAGAUCUGAAUCAAAUCAUUAUAUUCUAAAAGAAAAACUAAAUGAUAAAGAAUUGAAAGACAGAGAAAGGAAAUAGUAAAUCCAUUCGAUACGAUCCUCUGUUUUCACUAAAAAAGGCUGUUCAUGACCUUCAAAAUUAUUCCCUGGAAUAACACUGGAAACACGAUCAUAAAGAAAUUAUACAUAUUAGAUGAAGUGCACAGAAUACCAAACUUUAGAAGCUAAUACCAAAAGAAAAGAAAAGGAAAGGAAAAAAUAUUCCAAGUUCUCUUUUCUUUUUUCUUUUUUUUCACUCGGUUUUUCAAAGAUUAAAUAGAUUGCAAAGAAAUAUAAGAAAGAAAUCAAAAUAUUCAAUCCAAUUAGUGUAAACCUAUGCUUUUAAUUAAAAAGACUGUCCAGUGUUUUCAACUAAUGUUAUUCCCUAGACAACAUUGUAAACAUAAUCAUAAACAAAUUUCAGAAACUAAUACCAAGAGAACCAAAUUCAACCUCAAGCCUGUACUCAACAAUGCUUAUUUAGGAAAGAAUGAGAAAUAAAAGAUAGCACAACUUCGUUGUUUCUUUUCCACUUUUUCAAGGAAAUAGUACGCCGAAAAUAAACAACUCAAGAAUUUCAAGAUCAAACUUCAGAAUGUAAUACCAAGAAACCAGAUUCAAAAUUCAGAUGCAUCGGGCUGCAUUAGGUUCGAAUGCGGUAUCUGUAUAACACAGAAAACUAGACAGAAAAAUAAACAAGGAAGUUUGCUUCUCUUUAAAAGAACAUGACAGAUUAAAGAAAUAACAUCAAACUUCUGAAACUAAGACCAAGAGAACCAAAUUAACAUUCAGAUAAAUCCCACCGUAUGCCGUUCAAAUGACAGAGGCACUGAAAGAAAAAGAAAAGGAAGAUACCAUGUGUACAAACUAAAGAAACCGUCUGAAGAACACCAAACUUCAGAAACUAAUAACAAAAUAAUCAGAUUCAAGAUUCAGAUGCAUCGGCGUUCAAAUGCAAGAGCCGUUUAACAAACAAAAAGAAAAAGGAGUGAAUCCUCUCUUCUUUUAAAGAAACGGUAGAAAUUAAAGAAGAGGUCUCAAGAACGUCAAAUUUUAGAUACUAGUAGCAACAGAAUCAAACUCAAAAGAUUAGGAUACGCACUGAUGUAUGGCUCACACCUAAUAACAUAUCACUAUACUCAAAGGAAAAAAGGAUAUUCCAAAGUAUUUUUUUCUUUCCUUUUCUCUUUCCUUAAUUUUCCAAGGAACCAAACAAGUUGUCAAAAAAAUCAACAAAGAAAUCAAAAUAAACCACAGCUAGGGUUCCAAUACCUAGUCGGAAGUCGAGAGAAGUGUGCCCAAAGUUCAUCAUCAAAACCCGGACGCAUCGCCUCUUCAUUGUCCCAACUCUUGAGUCUACGACGAACCUCUUCAUAAAUUUCAACAACCUUCUGCCUCUGCUUCCGAUUGUGCGUCGGCCAUGAAUCCACUGCCCUGCUACUGCAACUGUCUGCAUCCUCCAUCAAAUCAACGAAGACACGACGAAACACAAGAAAGCGGAAGCUACUUCAAAACCAUCUUCCAAUGCGAGGAUAAACGAGUCCAACAAAACGAUGUCGCUCAUAGUUCACGUGAAAUCAUGAUUGAAAUACACAAAACGACAACCAGGAGGCAAAAAAACCACCGAGUAUCAAAGAGGGAAAACAACAGCAGAAGCGAAGCAAUGCUGCUUCUCCUUUUCUCUCUUCUGUCUAGUUAGAGCCACAAAUGAACGUUAAGCGGGCGUAGUGCGCACCCAUCUGUGCGGGUAUCGACGUGGAUUCAAACUAUGCUCACUUGCUUUGCUUAUAUCACCGCCUUAUAUAUUUAUUUAAAAAUCAGGUUUUACAAAAAAAGUUAUAAAUGGAAUUUUCUUUGUGCGGAUUAAGCGCUGCUGAUACCAGCUCCCGAGUCCCACCUCCUUUCCUGGCCAAUCAGGGCUCUUGUGUGAGAUUGUCGUCUCACCCGCCACUCUCAGUGAGCUGGAGACGGGGCAUUACUAAAAUUACCCAACGAUGAAUUGACAAACGGAUUUUUGCCGGCAACUCUGGUUAGACCGACGUAGAAUCGUGAGCGCUCACGAAGCGCACACCUAGCAGGUACAGAAUGUAAAGUAGUGCUGUAAUGGUCAAGACAUCAUGGAAAACGACCUUUUUUAUAAGAUAAAAAAAAAUAUAUAUAUAUAUAUAUAUAUGAAUAUAGUGUAUGCAAAUUUGAAAGGAAAAAUGAAUAAUUUUGAGUUUUAUUAUUAGAAGAAAAAUUCUGUUUACAUUAUUUCAUCCAUCAUGCAUCCAUUUUAAAAUGCUAGAGGCUUAUUUUAUAAAUAUUUUGAAAACAGUUUUUAAUAUUUUAUUAAACCAAAUUUUAAAAAAAAUUAAAUUUUUUUAACAUAUUUUUAAUAUUUUUUAUAUCUAAUGUUUUACUUUUAAUUAUUUUAUUUCGUAUUUAUAUAAUUAUUUUUAAAAACAACAUAAAAUAAUUACAAAAUAUUUUAUUGAUUUCCCAAUAUUUUCAAAAACGGUUUUCAAACAAAACCAACCUUCUUAAUAUAUUUACUAUAUCCCAAAUACUCCUUUUAUUUUUUUUCUUUUGUGACCUUUUUUUUUUUUUUUUUUGCAUCUUUUUUUUUUUUUCAACAACAAACCCUAAAAUAAACAUUUUUUUUAACAAAUGAAAACAAAACAAAACUCAUUUAGUAAUGUCCUAACCUAAAAUGUUGCAAAUGUCCGGUCUUUUAUUUAUUAAAGGACUCAAAAUUUUCCAUACUUUGAACAUCUAAUCCCAAAAGCUCAAUAUGAUAUUGAAUUAGUUCCUUAAAAUUCUCUUAAGUUAUGUUUAGUUCCCGAAAAUUACAAAGGAAAUAAAAAAAUGAUAAAAAAAAAUUAUUUUCUCAUAUUUGGUUGUCUUAUAAAAUAUUUCAAAUAAAAUUAAAUAAAAUUAAAAUUAAUUACAAACUUAUGCAUUUUAAAAUUAUUCAAUUUUUAUAUUGAUGAAUUCAAAUAAAUAAAACGAAUUUGAAGGAGCAAAUAAAAAUAAUUAAUCAUCUUUAACUCUAUUUUUUAUUUUUCUUCACUUUUUAUUUCCUUUUACUUUUUCUCUCCGUUUUAUUUCCUUUGCAUUUUUCAUUGAAAUUUUCGAAAACCAAACAUAUCCUUAAAAAAAUUCCUAUGGUACUUAUCAAUGAUGUACAUAACUAACUCUAAAUUAUCAAAUAACAAUAAAUUUGGACUUAGAUUUGAACUUUCACUAGACUUUAUAUCAUCAUGAAUUUGAUCUCUUCUUCAAGGGAAAAGAUGGAUUGAAUUUGAUGUUGAAACCAUCUUAUAUAUGAGCUUUCUCAAAUUCUUUUGUUCCUUUAAAACUCAAGAAGGUAUUUUUUUUCGCAUUAAGAAAUCUUCUUGGAGGUUAUCCGUUACAUAAAUAAUUAACUUAAGAUCAGCUAAUUAACAAAUGCAAUUUUAUAAUUAAAAAAGUAAUUAAUUAAUUUUUAUUUCAUUAGAAUACGUGGCUUCGUGUUCUUAUCCCAUCUUAUUAAAAAACAGGUGUAAUACACAUGAUGAUAUGUUUAUAUCCUUAAAAAUAUGGCCAGGCCCCUCACCUUUCCAAAAACAUGGCCUUACCUCGUCGAAUAAAAAAUAAAAAGGUGGCCGGUUCAACAGAGUCUCCACUCUAUGCUCUGGAAAAAAAACCGCAUUAUUGAAGCAAUCUCCCUGAAUGUGAGAGAGUUCAUUUGCGGUACAAGUGGGAAUCAUUUGUUAUCCUAUCCUAUCCAUCCCGUACCCCACCACUUUUAUUAUCAUUAUUGCAUGUUCUGAACGUGCUCCUACCAUAAUAACAUACGAAUUUCCCAUUCAUAUAAUUCAUCUUUAUGAAGGGUGAUACUGGAUUUAGGUGAAAAGCAAGUCGGUGCCUCAUUGGAUGAACAUGCGGAACGAUAUUAAUAAAUACGAAACGUGAGGGGUGUUAAAUUUAAAAUACGAUGGAGAUGAGUGGGGUAGGUGUGUGAUUUAUGGAAGAGGAGAUGAUGUCAUGAUGGUAGAAAGAUGCUGCUGCCGCUGUGGGAAGGUAGCCUAUGAGGAGACUAGACAGUGAAUGGUCUCCGUGGAUGUUGCAGCCAACGCCACAUGCCUCGCUUUUCCAUGGAAUCGUGGGUGGCCACUGGCCUCUCCAGAGGAGAUGAUUAGACCUUGCGGUACGAUGUUGAAGCCCAAAAGCCCGAACCCACCUAUCUCUCGUCAUCCCCUCCAUCGAAGCACUGGGGAGGCGACGCCACAUCAGCAAAUACGACAAAAAUAAAUAAAUAGGAUUAAUUUCAUCGAGCUUCAAGGGUUUCAUUAAAUACAUUUAAUUCUUAUUAAUUUAAAAUUUAAGUUGGUGUUUGUUUUUUUGGCUUUUUGUUGAAAAUCAUUUAGUUUUAGAAUUUAGGUUGUUUGUUUUUUUAUUUUUUCAUUACUUAUUAUAAACUUUUUACUAAAUAAAAAAAGUCAAAAUAUAUGACUUUUUCUAAAUAGAAAAAUAACACAAUGAUUUUUUUUAUUUUUUAAUAAAUAAAAUACUACAAAAACAAACAACAUAAUAUUUAAUACUAUUAGGGGGUGUUUGGUACGUCGGAAUAGGAAAUGAAAAUAAUAUUUUGUUUCCUUUCCUAUUUCUUAGUGGAAUGGAAUGAAUUUGAUAAUUUCAUUUCUAACAUUUGGAUGAACUUAGGAAUGAUUAUUUGUUUCCAUUCCAAUGUUUGAUAAUAAUAGGAAUGGAAAUGAAAAAGAAAUAAAUUUACAAUAAUAUCCUUACAUAUAAUUUAAAAUAUUUUUUUAUUUUUACUUUUAUUUUUAAAAAAUAAAAUUUGAGAGGUUUUUUGUUAUUAAAUAAUAAGACUAAAAAAUAUAUAUAUACUCAAUAAAUAAAAAAUUAACCAUAAAAAAUCGUAUAACCCUAAUGCACAAAUAUUCAAUUAUUAUUUUUAUUAAAAAUUUGAAUAAUUUGUCAUGCUUAAGUAGUUAUAAAAUUAUAUUUUUCAAAAAAAAAAAAAUAUUUAUUAUAAUAUUUAAAUUCUCAAAGCUAGUAAAUGUUUUUCCUAUUUUCAAAAAAGGAAAUAAAAGAAUUCAAAUUUAUUAUAAUUUUCAACAAGUAUCAUAUCCGAUAAAAUCCAUAACCUUAAAAAAAUUUAAAUAUUCGUUUUUUUUUAUCAAAAUUUUAAAUAAUUUGUCAUGCAAAAAAAGCUAUAGAAUUCUAUUUUAUUAAGAAAAAAAAAAAAGAGAAAAAAAAAUAUAAGAACAUAUAAAUUGUCAAAGCUACCAAAUACUUAUUUCUUAUUUGCAAAAAAGGAAAUAAAAAAACACAAACUUCAUUCUAGUUCUCAAUAUAAGUACCAUAUCUACUAAAAUCUACAACUAGUAUAUCCUCCAAAAUUAAGCCAUCAAAUCAAUAAAAAAGUUCAUAGGAAAUUGAUGAAACAAAAUCCAACCUAAAAUUUCUAUCAAUCUAACCUAAAGACAAUAAAUUAACAAGGAUGCAAUAUGGAGAUCGAAAAAUCUUCAAUAUUUUUAAGUACCAUAUCUUUCUAAGUACCAUAUCUUUUUAUUUUUUUCCUAACCAUUAAAAAUUUUCAAUAUUGUAAACACGUGAAAUCGAAAAAUCUUUUUCCAACCAUUUCAAUUUUUCUCUUCAGUUUCCAUUAAUACAAGAUAAAGAAACAUCAAAGAUUCCAAACAUAAAUUAAUAAAAAAAAAUUAAUCGAUUUAUAGAGAAGAAGAAACACAUAUAAAGAAGCGAAGAAGAAAGAGAAAAUAAGGUAAACCUGAUCGAAGAUGUACAAGGGAGUUUUCAGAACCUAGUUGCAGCAAACAAUGACGAAUCCUAGAUCCAACAAUCAAAAUGAACAUCCAAAACCCUAUAAAUUAGAAAUUGAUUUUUUUUUUUAAAUAUCGUGGAAGGUUUAAUUGAUUCAAUUUGGAAGAAUCACUUGUUACAGAGAAUUGGAUGAUGAGUGGGUCUCUAACUUUCCAAAUAAGAUAAGAAGUGGAUGAUGAAUGGAUCUCUACCUUUACAAAGAAGAUAAACAUCGAGUUUGAAGAACAAGAUAAAAGGGUAAAAUAGUAAUUUAGGUUAUUUUAUAUUAUCAAAUAAGUUUAAUGAAUCAGAAUACCACCUACUUUUAAUGAAUGCAAAUCCGACUCAUAAGUUGGAUUUGAUUUAUGUCGGAAUAAUUUUUUAUUUCAUUUCCGCCUUCUUAACAUUUAUCCAAACAUAAGAAUAAAGGAGAAAAGGAAUGAGAUGUCUAUUCCCACUCCCUAUUCCCGUGUACCAAACACCCCCUUAAGUAUUAAGAUUCUAUUUAGAAUUAAGUAAAAAAACAAACACCACCUUUAAUUUUAGUUUUUAGUCUUCUUCUCAUUUAAGCUUAAAAUAACUAAAAUAUAUUUAACACAAAUCUUAAAAGUAGAGUGAAAUAAACUAUAAAUAAAUGCACAGUGAUGGAUUUUUUAUUUAUUUUUUGGUGUUUUUGAAAAUAAGAAAUAUAAAUGGUUUUAUAUUUUAAAAAUAUUGUCAAAUACAUAUUUAAAUUAAUUUUUAAUAUAAAAAUUCUAAUGAUUUCCCCAAAAUGGGCACUUGACCACCUAUACUCAAUAGCUACAUAAUCAUUCGUAAAAAAAAAAAAAAAAAAAAAAAAUUUGAAGUAUUAUUUAAAGAAUAAAGACUUUAUUAUAUGCUUCAACCAUCCGAAUCGCAUAGUGGAUAUGUAGCCCAAACAUUUUCAUAAUUGAUAUGAUAAUGUUCUCAAAUAUCCAUCUUUCCCUCAAAUUGACGAGUGCUAACGUCUCGCUUGACGUCACCAACAAAGAAGCUAGGAAAAGAUUCUAAGAUAUAGUGGCCUUUAUGAUUUCAAGCAGCGAACAACCUAUCCUCCAUGAGAACAACAUACAGACGAGGAUUUCAUAAUCUGUACCUACAGUUAACAAUAGCCGUCCGAUUCACCGCGAACUCUGAGAAAAAUAAAAUGUCACUGCUUUCGAUUUCCCUCAAAUAGCAAUACGGACUGAGAAAUGUGGGGUUCUGUUGCACUCACACGUUGAAAUAAUGUAGUUCUUCCCGUGUGAGGUGAAUAACGUCACAUCAAUAUUUACCUAUCCCAUUAGAAAAUAAAAAAUUAAAAUUAUUUUUUAUUUUUUAUUUUAAAUAUUAAGUAUUUAAUAAAAUUAACUUAAAAUUUAUAUUAAGCUAUCCUGUUAACCCUCAUUAAUUAUAAUUAAUAUUUAUUUUUAUCUAUUUUAAAUAAUAAAUUUGUUUAUUAAAUAUUUAUACUUAAAGUAUUAUAAUAUAUAAGAUGAUUUUAAAAUAUUUAUUAUAAAAAAUGAGUUAUGACGUAGAGUUGUAGUUAUUAAAUAUUAAUAAAUGAAGUUAAAAAAAAUUGAAAUUAAAAAUAAGUUAUUAAUUUAGUGGGUGUUUGGUAAAUCACUUAAAGUGAUUUAAUAACUUAAUUUAAAUUAUUAAAUAAAUUAAUUAUAUUUAAUAAAAUGAUUUAAUGAUAUAAUUUAAAAUAAAAAUAUUUUUUAAGUAAUAAAUAAAAAUAAUUAAUUUAUUAUUAAAUUUAUAUUUAUAUUUUACUUUUUUUUUAUUUUUAUUUGUCAUAAUUACCUUUACAAUAUUUUUUACUAUUUCAUGACUUUUAUUAUUAUUUUACCGUAUUUACUUUAAUUAUAAUUUAUGAUUUUAAAUUACAAUUUAAGUAUAACUUCAAUUAAAUUCACUCUAAGUCAUUAAGUAAUAAAUAUUAAAUUUUUUUUAACACCUCUAAUACUCAACAUUAUUUUUAACUUAAAGUUGUGAUAUUGAGAUAUUUUAUUACUAUCCUUCUUUUAUAUUUUUAAAAUAAAAAUAUUAAGAACAACAUUUAUAUAAGAUAUUAAAAUUACUAAAGAUAUAUAUUGAAAGAAAAUAUUGAUUUUAAAAAAAUAGUUAAAAUUUUAAAAAAUACAAAGAUGGUGAAUUUAGUUGAAUUUUUUUUUUAAAAAAAAAAAAAACAUUUUUCGGUGAUGAUAAAACAAACAAAACCUCAACAGGCUCACAUUUGACUUACCCGUAACUCAUAUUAUUAACAAUAUGCCAAAGACAAAACCAAAGAGAGGUAGAUCUUUUUAGUUGUAUAUAUAUUUUUUAUAACCUAAACUCAAACAGCUGAUAUAAACAAACCUGGGAAAGUGGCAUGUGAUUAUUAUUAGUAAGAACUAAGAAGCGAUAAUAUUUUUCUUUUUCUUGGAAAAUGUAAAUAAAAUGGAAAAGAGGCUUAACCCAUCACCCACAGGGCCACAGUGGUCCCGUGGAAAAAUGAUUCCUAGUGGAAGAUUACCAUAUGGCUGGGUUGAUGACAGCCGUAAGACAGGCCCCUCCUAUACCCAAUUUGAAAAUAUAGACAACAGAUUAUGACCUGAGAGAUGCUCCCCGUUUCUGAAAAAAUCUAUUCAAGCACAGGCCAUUUUUCUGUUCGGAUCAAUGGAACAAUGGAUUCCGUAUGACGCUGAAAAGAAUGGCUGGCCUCCAUACCAUUGUCGUUUCUGUCAAAUGAUAUAGGAAGUAUUUUUAUUUAAUUAAAAUUUAAAAAUAUGAAAAAUAUUUUUAUUUUCAAUAAGAUUAUUUUGAUAUUUAUAUUGUGAAAGUAUCAUACUUGUUCUUAUCUUUAAUAAAAACUGCUUUUUUUAAUAUAUAUAAUUUUGAAUUCCAUAUGGCAAUAGACUCAAAACGUUAAUGUUACAUGUAGGCCUAUAGAUUACUUCAAGUAAAAAAUAUUAUUGUAAUAAUUGUAUAGGUUGCAAUUUGGAUGGGACGGAAAGAUUGAUGGCUAACUCAAGCCCACAUUGAAUUUAAAAAUAAUAAAUUUAAAUUCAACAUAAUUUAACUUAUAAUAUGAGGUCCUAGAUCCAAUCUAACCUCAUUUUUCUAAACUUGGGUUAAUUUGAUGAGAUUUUAGUUAAUCAGGUUGAUUGCAUUAUUCAAAAUUCAUCUAUAGUGAUUAUAUAUAUAACUAUAUAUUUAUAUCAAAUUUUAAAUAAUACAUAAGACAAAAUUUUAAGAUAAUAAUAAAAAAGUAAAAAUAAACUUAUAUACUUUCCAAAAAAAAUGAUAUGAUUAUAAUUUGACAUUUUUCUUUAAAAAUAAAAAAAAUGAAUAUUAUUAUAUAUAAUAUAAAUAUUAUAAAAACAUUAAAUUAUAUUUGGGUUAGGCUUGAUUUGUUUAGACCUUAACCUAAGGGUAAUUCAAAUUGAAUUCAAGUUAAGAAAAUUUAACCCAAACUCAACCCAAAUAUUGAAAAUAUUUGCCCAAACAUGCCCAAGCAUGAAGUUAGGUUAGGUCAAACAAUCCAAGUUGCACCUCUAAUUUUUAAUUAAACCUUACCAUCAUCUUGUCUAAUCAUUUUAUUAAAAUUCAAUAAAUAUUUGAUUGAUUACCAUUAAAUAGAAUUGAAAUCAAGGUUAAAAGUGAAAAUUUUAAAGUUGUAAUCCCUUAAUUGAAAUUUAUAACUUAUAUAUAUAUAUAUAUAUUGAUAAAAUUAUUACUAAACAUUAAUACUUAUUUUUCUAAUCCUUAUAAAUCAUGAUGAAAACUAAAUAUCAUAAUGGGGUAGGUUUUUUGGGUACCACCCUGUAUAAAUGGGUUUGGGUGUGACAUUAUCCAGUCCCACCCUAAUUAUACGUAAUUAAAUAAAAAAUUUAUUUUAAUUGAUUUUUUCUAUUUCUUUAAAAUUUAAUAUAUAUAUAUAUAUAUAUAUAUAUAUAUAUAUAUAUAUAUGAUAUUAUUUUUUAUAAAAAUAAAUUAUAAAUAUGUAUAAUGUUUUUUUAGUUAUAAAUUAUGUUUAUUUUAAUUAGAAUUUAAUAUUUUAAAAGUAAAAUGUUUGAAAAAGUAAAAAACAAUAAACAUGACGGAUAGACACACGAGAAUUUCAUAUACUAGUCUUGUCUUACCUCACCUUGUUUAAUUUUUUAUUUUUUGUUUAUAGGAAUGAGAAUUUAUUUAAAUAAAUGGGAUCGUUGAGAUAGGAUUGACCCAUCCACCUUACCAUUCCUAUUCAAAUUUUAAUUUAUUUUAUAUUUUCUUUAUUUUAGUUUUCAUUCUUAUAUAUAUAUAUAUAUAUAUUGGUUUUUUUGAUUUUAUUUUAAGUGAUAGCAUCUUCUUAGCUCCAAUUUUUUUUUUUGUUACAUUAUUUUGUGAAAUUAUAACAAUGCACUUUAUGAAUACAGUAAUUCUAAACUUUGAAGGUCACUAUUACAAAUUACUAAUAUGAGAUGACAGACAUGCAUGUUUUAAUUUUUAUAAUUUCAAAUAAUAUGAAUUAAGAUAAAAAUUAACAAAAAAUGAUUAUAGAUUUUUUUUAAGAAAUGAGGGAAAAAUUAUAUUUUUAUUAAAGAAAAAAACAAGAUUAAACUAAUGAUUGAAAUAAGGAGUCGAAUGAAUAAAAUAUAGAAACACAUAUUUAGAAAAAGAAAAAAGAAAAAAAUUGGAUAAUCACAAAAUAAUAGAUUGUGUUAGGUGAGUAUGGCAAAAUUUGAUACAAUUCGUGAACACGAUAUGGACCCAAUAUGUUUUUCGUGGGUUUGGAUUAGGUAUAAAUUAGUUUUUUUUUUCAAAUAAAUAAAUUAAUUAAGUUAUGAAUAUGUUUGAUUGAGAUAUUAAUUAUAUAGAUAUAUAACGUGAUUAUUAAAUGGGAGGACUUAAUUAUUAAUGGGUUAAACAAUUUACAAGAGAUUAUUAUUUAUAUCAAGUUUGGAUUGAACUAUGCAAUAAAAUACUUAUGCUUUGAUACGAUAUGAACAUGACCCACCAACAUAAAUUGUCACCCAUCUCUAUUGAGUAACAAACCAAUAAUUUUUACCAUGUUAAUCUAUAUUUAUCUCAUAUCUUUGAUUUAUUUAUAUUUUUGUAUUUUACUGUUAUUAGAAUCAUAAAUCUUGUCCAUAAACUAAUUUUCUACUAUUUAAAUUGAUUUUUAUUUUUAGUUUUGUAUCGAGGCUGAAAUUAAAAAUCCGAACCCCAAAAACUGGCCCAAAAAUUUGAGUCCGAAUCUGGACCAUUCCAGGCCCAAAGCCCAGCUUUAGUUCUUUGACCAAACAGAACUUACAACGAGAAAAAAUGGUUUUCAAAAGUCAUGCUCCUCCGAGAAUGAGAAAAUACACGUUCCCAUGCAAGCUUAAAUACAAAUAAACAGCGAAGAAGGGUGAUCAGUGAUGACUGGAGUUUAAUAUACGCCGGUAACGAAAUGGUAACCAAGGGACAAAAUUGGGUGGUUGGUCCGAUGAGAUUCCACAUAUAGUAUUCAAUACAGAGUUCAGAGACACAGAGGGAGUUAUGGGGUGAUUCCCUCAUUUAAUGCUGUUGUCUGUUUUUCCUGGUUUGUUAGUCUCAGAGAAGAGAGAAAAAAAGAAAAAACAGAGAGAGAUGGAAAGACUUGUGGAGCGGUUUCACAUUAAUGUAGGGGGGCCUCAGCUCUGUACUUGUGGUUGAGAGUGAGAGAAUGUAAAGUGUGAUUAAAGGGUCAAAGCUUGACCCUAAUUGAUAUUCAUCCACGUAAAUAUAUAGUACAUCAAGCAAACCUAAUUAAGGGAAAACCGUGAGUUUAGGAAACAAUCCUAAACAAUAGCAACUACUUUCCUAGAAUACUUUCCUAGAAUAUAUCAUAAUAUCUCAAUCGUGAGUUUAGGAAACAAUCCUAAACAAUAGCAACUACUUUCCUAAUAUACUUUCCUAGAAUAUAUCAUAAUAUCUCAACAGAGAAAGAGAGAAAGAGAGAAAAAGAGAGAGAAAGGGAGCGAGGGAGAAUAUUAUGGGUGAUGGGUUCCUAUUAAUGCAAUGGUCCUUGUAUAGGGUCUGGUAGUGGAGGGUUGUAAAUGCUCCUGCAGAGCCUCCAUCUUCUUAAAUUCGAUCAAGACAUUCCCAUUUCUUCUCACCACUAUCCCCUUUCCAAAAUCCUCUCCUCUCUUUUUCUUUUUCUCUCUCUCUCUGUUUCUACUCCUUCGCCAUCGCCAUCACCAUCACAUACCCCCUCUUCCUCUUCUCCACUCCCCUUGCUUUGUCUCCAUCUUCUCUUCUCAGAUUCUCCCUUUUUGGGUAUUUUCCAACCGUGACGAGGAGUUGAAAUAGUUACUGUGAUGUUGGCUCGGUUCACUCAGACAAAAAGAAAAAAAGAAAAAACAAACACAUAUAUGCAUGCAUUUUUCUCUUUUAGCUUUGAUUGAGCCGUGCCAAUAUCUCAGUGCCUUUUCAUUUCUACUCAUUUGCUCUUUUCAGAUUCCACAUCCAAGUGUUUCUUCCAGGCUUCAAAAUCCAUAUCUUCACCAACAUGCCCUUUUUCUCUACACGUGAUUCUUUCCCAAAAUAGCUUGUUUCCAUCUACCAAUAGAUGGUAAAGGUCGAGUCUACCCUUCUUUCAAAGAGUGCAAAUAUAAUUUUUUUGGGGCAUUAUGGUGUUUUCUGCUCACGCAAGGGCCUCCUAUUUUUCUUGCUUUCCGGUGAGUAGAUAGUUCUCCCCUUUGUUUUCUUUCUUUCGAAUAUUUUAAUUGUAUCAUAAUAAAUUAUAAAAUUACAUAUAAUAGCAGAAAAAUUAAUAGCAUACUUUUUAUUUUCUUGAAUAUUUUUAUUUUUUUCCCUUGAAAAGGCAUGGUAUGAAGAUUUAUUUAAAAAUCAAUGUUAUGAAUAAUUAAAUUUAGAUUGCUUUAAAAUACCAUACAAUAUGUUCUCCUCUAGGUAUUUUCACAGCCACCGUCAUCACUGUUGUGACCUACCUUACUAAUAUCAGCCUUGAAUUUUGUUCUGAAAAGCUGGAAAUGUUUUUAUUUAUUUAUUUUUAUUUUUAAAAUCUUAUUGAAUUCUUUGCAAGAAAAGAGCCAAUGGCCUUGAAUCUAGGCUUUCCCCAACUGUGCCGCUCAAUCAAUGAGAAGUACCUAUCAGACUAGACAUUUAUUAAAACUUAGAGAAAUUGAAGUCAAUGCAGCUAGUGCAAUGAAUUUACACAUUAUACCCUGUUUGGAUGCCAUUUAAUUUUCUACAGUUUUAUUACAGUAGAAAAGGGAAAAAAUAUAUAUAAAUAAUUAUUAAUCAAAUUAAUCAUUUAAUAAAAAUUUAUAGAUUUUUUUUUUAUAACCUUCAUGACCUCAACCAUCAUAUGAUGAUAGUCUGAUAGAGGGUUAAAUUAACCCAUGUACAUUUUGCUUCAUUUCUUGAGGUAUAGAAGAAAUAUAGGUAGAAGUUAGUUGAGGAUAGUAAAUGCCAGAGGGGGAUGAGCGUUGGGACAUAUUUAAUAGGAAGAGUAAAUUGGAUAGGUGGGAAAAAAGUGAGAUUCUCUCGGCAUUUACACACUUAAUGACUUACCAGGAUGAGUGCAUUUACUUUUUGCACUGGGACAAAGAUUCCCUUCUUCAUUUCUCGCCACUCUCUUCCUCGCACUUCACAUUUACUCCGCUUUUACUGCUCUUUUAUUUCCUCCCCGCGCUUAAAAGUGCAUGCCGGAUAUGAUAUUUUCAAGUGAUUUCUCACAAAAGUGAAAGAAGUAUUUUUCUUAACGUUGUUUAUUUGUAAAAUUUUUAUAUUGUUUCAAGCUCUCAAACGUGGGUGUGGUGUUUUUUUGGCUGAAUAAAAAAAGUUAAUUAUUUUUCUACUCAUCAACGUUGUCCUCUCUUGUACUCUUUAAUGAAUAUUUCAAAACCUUUAUUAAGAUUUGAUGGGAUAUAAAUCAUGGGCUUGUGUUCGAAUUAAAAAAAAGCUUUCUUUUAAAAAUAAUAAUAAUAAUAAAAUAAUAAACAUGAAAGAAAAUAAUAAUUUUUUGCAUUAAAAAUGAAGCAAGAAACACAAAAAAUUCACUCCAGGUUUGAGCACUUGGGGGUUUAAAUGCUUGUUGAGUGUGUUUGACUUGUUUACACUCAAAGUACUUAUAAUAAAAGUAUUUUUUUUUGUAAAUUUUUUUUGAGAGAAUCAUUAAUUAAAUGUAUUAUAAGUAAUUUUAAAAUUUUUUAAAAAUAUUUCUUAAAUUUUAUCAAGCACUUAAUUUUUCUUCUAAAACAUUUUUUUUAAAUCUUAAAACGAGUUUGAAAGUGAUUUUAAAAAACGUUUAUAAUAUUUUUAAUAUUUAAAUUAUAAAAAUUUUAAAGCAUUAAAAAUAUUAAAAUCACUAUCAAACGGACUAUUAAUCAACUUUUUAAUUCGAUAAUUUUUUUAGCUUUUCUCUAUAGUUUUCAAUUUAAUUUAUUGUAUUGAUCAUUUUAAAGAUUUUAUUAAUCCUUACAUGCAUAUGAACCUUGAAUUUAAUGACUCUAAACCAAUCCAAAGUUGAUUCUAAUGAAGCUCCAAGCACAUCAAGAUAUAUUAAUGAAAUAAAAUUGUCAAACUUAAAUUAAUACAUGUUCAUGUAUUAAUUUUAUUUUUAAAAUGUAUAUCCUAUUGUAGACCCCCUUCCGGGGAGAAGGGGUUUUUGGGCCUUCUUUUUAUUAUUUUGCUAUCAUGAUUACUCUUCUGACCACCCCGGGACUUAGGUUGAUGGGGGCGGCUAGAUUAGAAGGAAUGCAGAGAGUAGGUGAGGGUUGGGAAUGGAAAAGAGGAGGAAAAAGAGGAGAAGAAACAGGGAGGGGCGGCAACGGGAACGGGGGGAGGCUUGACUGUCUGAGAGAGGAAGAAGCACAGAAAAAUCUCCUUGAAAGGAGCAGAUACAGGUAUUCUCAUUUCUUGAAGCCAUCUUUAUAUAUAUACAUGUUGCUAUUUUUUUCUUUGAGUUUUUUUUGGGUAUCAUUUGAUUCCACUUCUGAAGUUCGGAUGUGUUUAUCGGGAUCUCCCGUUCAUCCAUGCGGGAUUCGAGUUUGCUUUCAUUGGGCUCAUGUUCGAUUCCUAUCUUGUUUUAUAUCCUCUGUUUUUGAGAUCUCGUAUGAGAUAUUGGCAUUUACGCUUUGAUUUUUGUUUUAAAUCCCAUUUUGAAAAUUGUUUUGACCCCCUCCCACGUUCUGGGCAUCUUUAACUGAUACAUGAAGCUCCCGCAUACAUGGGAGCCAUGCAAAGGUGGCCUCUAUUUCAUACCUAUCUUUCUCCCGUGCUCAUACCCGUUCCAUACCUAUUUCCCCCACCAUCCAACCUUUGUUUUUUUUUUUUUUUUUUGUUUAUAUAUAUCUUCAUACCCAACCCCUAAAGACCAGCAGCUUCAAGGAAGAAGAACAAAGUGACGCCAUGGUAAGCAACACCACCCGUGCGCCUCGUGAUUCAACUGGUAGUGGUAGGCAUGCUUCACGCCGCGCCAUUCUCGUUGGUCCGCAAGAACAAAGCCUACCAGUUUCUGAUCUCCGAGGGCAUCAUCGCGUAGAACCUCUGCUGCACCGUCAACGUCCUGCACCACCAGCCUGCCACCCCCAGUCUUCAACCCAGAAAUAAAAAUAAAAACGGGUUGAGACCAUCUUUGAUCCUUAAAGUGGAUAUCAUGAGCAAUGGUUUCUGUUUGUGGGCCUAAGUUAAUCCAUGUGGGCCUUAAGCCCUAUCUUUUGAGUUUAGGCCUAACUAGUUUAUAUUCAAGUUGGGCCUUAUGUGAAUGGGCUCCACUGCAGGCCAUUUUAUGUCUUGUUCUUUUAUAUUUCAUGGGUCUUUAUAAAAUUUCUAUCCCCCAAGUACCCUUUCAAAAUUCUUUCAUUUAAUUAUUAUUUCGUAUUCCAAUUUUCAAAUACUCUUUCGAAACCCCAAAUUUACAAAGUUUAGUUUGCAAAACUAUUAAGUCUCGAAAUUUUAAAUUUUCCAAAGCUUCAUCCCUAUAUUUAAUUUUAAGAAAUGUCAUUUUCGAAAUAAUCCCCUAAAAUUUAAUCUUAAACCCAGGCUAUAAAACUUUGAUCCUCAAAAAUUCAAUUUACUUAAACUUCUUUCUCAAUAAUGAUAAUAAUAAUAAUAACACAAUUUACUAAAUUCCCACCUUCCCAUUAAUUUAUUAUUUUAUUUAUUUAUUCUAAAAUUCCAUUUUAAACAAUUCAUUUAAAACUUUCGAUUUCCGAUUUUAAUUUCUAAUUCCAAAAGUUCCAAUAUUCACAUUAAUCUAUUUAAUUAUUAUUACUUUAUUUAUUUAUUCUAAAAUUCCAUUUUAAACAAUUCAUUUAAAACUUCCGAUUUUCGAAUUAAAUUUCUAUUUCUGAAAAUUCCAAUAUUCACCUUAAUUUAUUUAAUUAUUAUUAUUUUAUUUAUUUAUUCUAAAAUUCCAUUUUAAACAAUUCAUUAAAAUUUUCAACUUCCGAUUUUAAUUUCUAAAUUCCUAAUCUCGAAAAUUCUCAUAUUCCCAUUAAUUUAUUUAAUCAUUAGUAUUUUAUUUAUUUAUUUCAAAACUCCAUUUUGAAUCAAUUCUUCAAAACUUCUGAUUUCCGAAUUAAAUUCAUAAUCCCGAAAAUUCACGUAUUCACAUUAAUUUAUUUAAUCAUUAGUAUUUUGUUUAUUUAUUUUAAAACUCCAAUUUAAAUCAAUUCUUUAAAACUUUUGAUUUCUGAGUUAAAUUCCUAAUCCCGAAAAUUCUUGUAUUCCCAUUAAUUUAUUUAAUCAUUAGUAUUUUAUUUAUUUAUUUUAAAACUCUAAUUUAAAUCAAUUCUUUAAAACUUCUGAUUUCCGAAUUAAAUUUCUAAUCCCGAAAAUUUAUGUAUUCCCAUUAAUUUAUUUAUUUACUUCAAAACUCCAAUUUAAAUUAAUUCUUUAAAACUUCUGAUUUCCGAACUAAAUUCCUAAUCUCGAAAAUUUCUGUAUUCCCAUUAAUUUAUUUAUUUACUUCAAAACUCCAAUUUAAAUUAAUUCUUUAAAACUUCUGAUUUCCGAACUAAAUUCCUAAUAUCGAAAAUUCACGUAUUCCCAUUAAUUUAUUUAAUCAUUAGUAUUUUAUUUAUUUAUUUUAAAACUCUAAUUUAAAUCAAUUCUUUAAAACUUCUGAUUUCCGAAUUAAAUUCCUAAUCCCGAAAAUUUAUGUAUUCCCAUUAAUUUAUUUAUUUACUUCAAAACUCCAUUUUAAAUCAAUUUUUUAAAACUUCUGAUUUGCCAAUUAAAUUCCUAAUCCUAAAAAUUCCAAUAUUCAUAUUAAUUUACUUAAUCACUAAUAGUUUAUUUAUUUAUCUCAAAAUUCUAUUUUAAACAAUUCUUUAAAAUUUUUGACUUCUGAAUUUAAUUUCCAAUUCCAAAAAUUCCAGUAUUCCCAUUCAUUUAUUCGAUCAUUACUUUCGUCCUUAUUAUUAUUAUUCCAUUUAUUUAUUUGUUUUUCUUUUGAAUCCCAAUUUCCAAAUUUAAUUUCCGAUUUCUAAACUUCCAAUCUCUUUCAAAUUUGACAUCCAAAAGUCCAACUCUUAAAUUCAAUUCCCAAGACUCCAAUUUUCAAAUAAUUUUCAAGACUCCAAUUCUCAAAUGAAUUUAAAAAAUCCAGCUUUCCUUCGAACAAUUUUAAAACCUGCUUAGUGAUGCAUGUGGUAUGUUUUGUGCUCUAUAAGGUGUACUAACCCUCUCUAUUGAUAGCGCAUGGUGGUUCGUUGCCCAGGUAUGUACCCAUUUUCCCUCUAAUCGUUGUCUAUGCAUGUCUCGACUCUUAUGUGUGCAUGAUCAUUCAGGAUAUUCAUUGAUUUACUCAUCAAUUGCCACAUCAACUUCAUUUUAUUAAUAGAGACCCGACUUUAGGGACUUAGAGGGGUGCUACAGUCUUUACCGAACCUUCCUGAUAAGUAACCUGACCCCUGAGCCCGAUCUGGUUUUUCACAUACCACAUUUUCCAAAACAUGGAGUCACACUUAGGGUUUUUCUUUCUUAUUUUGUUUACCCUUUAAAAAUAAAACAAAAAUAAGUGGCGACUCCAAGUCAUUUUCAAAUAAUCAAUAAAAAAAUCAUUUUUCAAAUUAAAAUCGAGCUCGCCAUUCGAAUGGGAAACACAUGAGCCGAAAUGCGGGGUCCACACCUAUGAAUUGUUUUUUAAUAUAUUACUAUAUAAGAUCUAGGUGUUUGACAAAAUAAAUUUUUUUUUUUUUCAAAAUCUAAAAAAAUGUUUGAAAUAAUCUUAAAUUAACAUUUUGAUAAGUGCUUCUUAAAAGAUGACUUAGAUUAAAACAUUUAAGUUAAUUUUGAUUCCCAUAAAAUUGAAGAGAAAGCAAAGUGGAAAAAUAAAAUAAAAAAUAAAAAAUAAAUUUAAAGGUAAUAAAUUAUUUUUAUGAUACUUCAAACUCAUUUAACUUAUUUUAAUAAUUUUAUAUAAAGAUUAAAUAAUCUAAUAAUAUAUAAAUUUUCACUUAAUUUUAAUUAUAUACAUAUAACCAAAUAUAAAAAAUAGUGUAUUUGUAAUUGCUUUUUUAAAACAAUUUCGAAAAAUUAUUUUUUGUUAACAAUUUUUUAAAAUUGAUCUUUCAUUUUUGUAGAACAAGAGUUUGUUUUAAAACCUAAAAAGUUUUUAACAUGUUUUUCAUAUUUUUAAAAUACUUUUUAUAUUUACUAUUUUAUAUUUAAUUAUUUUAUAUAUUUAUAAAAUUAUUUAUUAAAACAAUCAUAGAAAAAAAAUAAAAAAUAAAAAAAAAUUAAAAAAUAUUAUUUGAAAACAUUCUAUUUCGUUAUUUUAUUUUUAAAAAAUAAAAAUAAUUUUUAAUUACCAAAUUUAUUUUAUGUGUUUUUUGUUACGAAUAAUAAAAAAUUAUUCUAAAAAAUAUUUCAAACAGACCCUUCAACUUCCUUAAAAUUUUUUUUUUUCAUUUUCUUAACAUUCUUUUAUUCUUUUAUUUGCAUUUUUCUUAAAUCAAACAUAGCCUUAAAUUUUAAAUAAAAUAUUGUAUUCUAGGAAUUAUUUUUUAACUAUUUCCAAAAACAUUAUCACACUUCUUUCGUUUUUUUCUUAUAGAAUUCCCAUCACUAAAAUAAAAUAGCCUUAAAUAUUCUCAGUAAAAGUGUUGUAGUAAGAAUACUUUCACCGGGAAAAGAAAUGGGAGAAUUGUGUUUUGGGCCCAGCUGGACCCAAAAAUUAACAUUUGGUCCUCCAACCACCCAUAUUUAAGCCCAAGACCCAAACAAAGUAUGAAAAUUAAGAUGAAGGAUAUAUUGUCUUUUAUUAAUUCCUAAAAUACCCUUAUCCCUUAUAUGCCUACAAGUGAGUGUGAAUUUUAAUUUUUUUUUUUGUGUUUUUUUUCCUUUUCUAUUCCCUAUUAAAUAUUACUCAUUUCUAACUUUUUUUUUUCCUUUUCAUUCCAAUAUAUAUUUCUAUUUUAUGUCAAAUAAAAAGCAAUAAUAUUUUUUUAUUUUUCAUUUUUAAAGAUAUUGAAUCUUUUUGCUCUUAUUAAAAGUAAUGAUAAAAUUUUUGGGAUUUUUCAUUCAAAUAUUUUUUAUCUUUUUGUAUUUAUUUUUUAGUUUAAUUUUAAUUUUUUAUUUUAAAUUUAUAUUACCCUUUCAUCUAUAUUUUUCUCUUAUUUUUAAUUAUUUUUUUAUAUUUUCUACAUUAACCAUAUUUUAAAAAAUUUUAAAAUUAACUAUCACUUCACUUUAUUAUAUAUAUAUAGCUUUUUAAUUUUAAUGUUUUUAUUUUAAAAUUUUUAAAAAGAUAAAUUUGUUGAAAAAAAUAAUUAAGAUAUGAAGUUCUAAUAUUAUAUUAAUAAUUUUUCUUAUCUAGAUAGAUUAAUGUAAAGUAUUUUGACCCACAACAAGAAAAUUGUCAAUACAAUUUUUUAGUUAAACUUUAAAAAUUAAGUUUCAAAUAAAAUAUAUUAUAUAAAAUUUUAUCUAAAAAUUAUUGAAAGCGGUAUUUAAUUUUUUUAUUUAUUGACUUUCAAACUUAUCUAAUUUAAUUAUUGAAAGCGGUAAUAGAACAUGUUUAAAAAAAAAAAGAAAAUUAGUUUUCAUUUUUUAAAUAAAUGAGUAUAAAUAUAUUAAAAGAAUUAAAGAUAAUUUAAGUAAAAAUUUUGAUAAAUAUGAUUAUAAUUUUAAAUAUAGAUUCAUUUGGAUAAAAUUUCACAAAAAAAAAAAAAUUGGUGAAAAGAAAGAACAUUGCUAAAACUACAAAAACAAAAUAUGCAAUUACAAAAUUUUGAUGAUGAAAUUUAAAAAUAAAAUUCAAAACAAUUAUUGAGUGAGAGAAUUUGAGUGGGGGAAAAAAUCUUUGAGUGGAAAAAAAUAGGAAAGUUUUUCAAAAUCACUUGAAAUCCAUAACAAAAAGUAAUCUUGUACACCUUUGUACAAUUAAUAAAUUUGUCUUAUACAGUUAGUGUAAUACCCUUGUACAAUAACUCAAAUAACUCAAAAUUUUAUUUCUUAUGUGUUAAUUUUUGUAGGGAAUGUCUUAAUGAAAUAGUUUGGUAAAAAAAAGAAAAAAAAAACUAUCAAUAAUCGUCUUAAUAUCAAAUUCAAGUUGUUUAAAAAUUUGUACAAAACUUAUUAGGAGCCUUAUACACCCUUGUACACAUUUCCCUUGUACAAUGACACAAAUUUCAUAUUUGUCAUAACUUAAACAUAUUUUCAAAAAGAGACAAUAUAGAAAAUAAAAAUAAAUAAAAAUAAAAACUAGAAAAAUAUUUUAAAACCAAACUCAAAUAUAAUCUAUAUAAUUUUUAGUUAUUUGUUUUCAUCUAAAACAAGUAAAUAUACAUUUCAACCCUUUUUAUAUAAAAAUAAAUAAAUAAAUCUCUACUAUGUAUUGAUAUAAUCCACUUCUAAAAUUAGGUCAUACGAAAACAUUUUAAUUGAGUACUUAAAAUAAAAACUCUCCAUCCAUCAUCAUUUUAAUCGAGUACUUAAAAUAAAAACUCUCAAUCCAUCCACUUUCUUUAUUUUAAUAAAUUUUCAAUUAAUUCAAAUCAUUAAAAAAAAAUCCUUAAUAAACAAAUUUGUAGCAUUUCAUAUAACUUAUUAUUAAAAGUCAUGUUCAAAAAGUUAUUAAAAUAAGGAAGGAAGAAGAUUUAAAAAAAAAAAUUGAACUUUUUAUUUUAUAAUAGUAAAAAAAAACUUUAAAAUACUUUUUAGUAUAAAAAAAAUUAAAAUAGUGAAUAUAUUUAUUUUAAAUGGUAUUUUAAUCAUUAAAUUAUUUACUUCUAAAAUGUAAAUUAUAAAAAUAAAUGUAAAAGAUAAUUUUUAUUUAUUUAAAUUAAUAUUUUUUUAGAAAAUAUUUUUCAAAAUAGUAUUUGAAUCGUUAAUAUUAUUUUUGUUUAUUUAUAAUUUAAAAAUAAAAAAUAAUGUAAUUUUUCAAUUAUUUAUAAAAGAGUUUUAAAAAAAUGAAAAAUUCAAAAAUGGUUAAAUAAGAAAGAAGAGUGGCAAGUAGUAGAAUAAAGACAAAAAUGAGUCAAGUAUGUAUUUUUGUCAAUUACUAUCUCAUAUCUCUGGGCUUAAAUAUGGGUGGUUGGAGGACCAAAUGUUAAUUUUUGGGCCCAACUGGACCCAAAACAUAAUUCUCCCAAAAGAAAUUUCAAAGUACAGAACAACGUGCCCUUUUAAAGUUUCUGCUUGUUAAAAAUAAAAAAAAAUCCUCAUUUUCCAAUUGUCAUAAAGUCAUCCCAGAAAAGGUGGAUCGUGUCUAUGAAAUUGCCGUGGAGAGGCAACCACUAUCCUCUCCAGUUGAGAGAGAGAGAGUUGAUCGUUUAUAUAAACUUAUUUUACAAAUAUUUGUAUUUUAAUUUUAUCUUCUUUUUUUUAAAGCAUUUUUUUCUCUGAUAGAAAAUUUGAGAAAAAAUGAAAGAAAAAAAAAAGGGAAAAUUAGAAUGAAACAUAAUUUGAAGAAAAAUAAAAAAUAAAUUUAAAAUUAAUUAAUAUCUAAUUUAAUUAUCAAAUUUCUAACUAAUUAUUAGUUAUAUUUUUUUUUGGGUAAAUUAUAUUUUUUUUUUUUGUAUUUUAGGAUAUCCAUAAAUAUAUUAAGAUAUUAUUAUUUUUAAUUUAAUUUAGAAAUAAUUUUAUCUUAAUUAUAUAAAAUAAUUUUUUUUUUCAAAGAUUUAGAAUGUUUAUUUAACACAACAGCAAUUAGAAUAACUUGUCAGUCAUGCUACAUAUCCUUGAAAUAAUGUUGAUGUAACAGUGGGCUUUGUCUAAGCAUGGGCCAUUGUCAUUACACUAAUGGGCUUGGGCCUUUAAAAAAAAGAGAGUUACAACCAAGAAAGAAAAGAGAGAGAAAUAAUGUCUUUCUAGAGGUGAGAUGCAUCACAAAAUGAAAAGUGUAUUUAAUAAUAAUUUUAGAAAAUAUUUUUAAUUUUUAUAAUACUUAAAUAUAAAAAAAUUUAAAUAUUAAAAAUAUUAAAAAUGUUUCAUAAAAUCACUAUAAAAUUCACACAAAGACUUUAUUUAAGAAGAUAAAAUAAAAUAAUGUAUGAGAGGAAGAGAUUUUUUAUGGGAGUGCUUCACGUUUCUCUAAAAUAAAUAUAUAGGUAUGGGAGAGUGACUUUUAUGAAAUAAAUAUAUCAAGGGUUCGUUUGAUUAUCGAAAAAUGUGGGAAAAACAUAUAUAAAGAAAAAAUAAAAUAAAAAAUAAUUUUUUUUAAGUUAAUAAAUUAUUUAAUAUAAUAUCUCAAAUUCAUUUAUUUAUUUCAAUUUUUUACAUAAAAAUUAAAUAAUUUUAAAAUCCAUAAGUUUUUAUCAAUUUUAAUAUUUUGUACUUAAUAUUUUUCAAGAAUGAAACAUAACCUAAAAUAUUGGCUUGAUAUAAGAAAUUUCAAAAUACAUUUCUAGAAAAAACUCAAGGUAUAAUGUGAUCAACAUAGCAAAAAUUUGUGAAGGGUAUAAAAAGUAUGACGUUAAAUUUUAAUAAAAUGAUUCAAAAAUAUAAUUAUUUAAUAAUUAAUUAAACAAAUUGGUCUAUAUAUUUUUAAAUUAUUUAAUUUUUAUAUCCAUGAUUUAAAAUAAACGAAUAAGUGAAAUAAGUUUGAAAUCCUAAGUAACUUUAAAUCUGUUUUUAUUUUUCUUUUCUUCUAUUUUUUUCUUUUAUUUAUUUAUUUUUAUCUAUUUUUUCAAUCAAACAUACCCUAAAAAAUUUUGCACAGAAAACUGAAAUGUAUCACGUUCUAAACCAGGUUGCUAACUUUACUGAUUUUUUUAUUUUAUUUUUGUAUUAUUUACACUUGUAACAAUCUCACUUGCAGUCAUUCAGAAAUAUGGUGGCAAAUGGUUGUUUUCGCGUCAUAGUUUGACCCUUAAAUCAAUAUUGCGUUUUAACUAGCCAUUACUGGGUGGUGAGUCCUAACUAUUGGUUGCCCAUCAUUUCAAAGAUGUGAUUUUUCAAAUGAUUUAUAAAAAUAAACAAUCCAACAUUCUAUUGAAACAUUUAAAGUUGAUACACGAAAUAUCUAGGCUAUAAGUCACUCUCAAACUUCCAUUAAUACGAAAAUCUCAGUUGCCAAACCUUGCCAUAAAAUCAAUUCAGUUCCAUUGUCAUGAAGGAAGAAAGAGUAGCCCAAUCCCAUUUAUGGACUAGAGUUAGUACACCACCACACCACCUUUGUAAUCAAGUAUUACUUUCAUUGUAUUACUAUUUAUACAUAUGGUCAUGCAUAUAUUGUUUAAUUUGGUAGGGAUUUACAAUAUCUGAAUACAUCAUUGAUAAAUCUAAUAUUCACGGAUCCUGAUAUACCAAUUUGUUGAUUUUUUCAUAUUUAUAUUUCAUUGAUAUUUCCGGAUAUUUCACUAAUUUUUUGAUUAUUAAAUAAAUUAAUUUUAAUUAUUUUAUUUUUAUAUUUGAUUUAAUUUAUUAUAUAAAAACGUAAUUUUCUUAAGAGGUUUUUUUGUUUUAUAUAAUCUAUAUAUUUAUUAAAUAUAAAAAUAUGAAUAUUAAUUUUUUAUAUAUAUAUAUUUAUUUAUUUGAUAUAAUUUAUAAUGGAUCAUAAUUUUAAUAUUAAAUAUAUUUUAAAAUUAGACAUAUUAUCAUAAUAAUAUUUUUUAUUGAUAUAGAGGAUAUUAUUAUGAUAAAUUAUAUGUAUUCAUUUUUUUUUUUUAUCAAAAAUAACUUUUAAAUAUCUAUUUUUUACUUCUUAUAUAAUAUUUUAAAGUUUUUUUAAUUAAUUUUUAUAAUAUUUUAUGAAUACCAUAAUUACUGAUAUUUUUAUCAAUGAAAUCUUAACUAUUGAUUGCCCAUCAUUGCAAAGAUGUGACAAGAUCUAAAACAAAUGAUUUUUCAAAUUACCUGUAAAAAUAAACAAUCCAACAUUUUUAAGAAAGGCGUGAAUGCCUUUCUUUCUUAUACAAGGGAGAUGCAUUGAAACAUUCAAGGCUGAUGCACUAUUAAUUAUAUAGAAAUAUAUAGGUUAUAAGUCACUGUCAUACUUUCAUUAAUACGAAAAUCUCAAUUAUCAAACCUUGGAAAGUACCAUAAAAUCAGUUCGAUCCAUUGCCGUGAAGGAAGAAAGAGCGACCCAAUCCCAUGCAUGGACUAGAGUUGUACGCCACCACUCCACCUUUGUAAUUAAGUAUCAGUCUCAUUGUAUUACUAUUUAUGCAUAUAGCCCGUGUGUAUAAAUAGCCCAUGUUGGAGCUAGGUUUCUUUCCUCCUGGCUUCCAUUAUUCGUGCGCUAACCUACAAUGCAAGGUUCACCUUGACCUGGUAGUAUCCGGACAGACCCCUCCGAUUGUCAAGUCAUUUGGAGAUCUGGGGUGGUUACCUUCCGAUAUUGCCCUUCGUGUUUUCCCACGUUUCUUACUAGGUCAAACACUUUGAGCAGGCCUCCAGGUUAUGCCCAUAAUUUCAGGCCCCAUGGGGUGCCUACUGCCCAUGCAUGGGUUGUUUGGUAGGAAUGGAAGUGAUACUUCACUUGUACAUCCAUGGCGCGCACACACACUAGAAAAUAAAGAAGAUUUUGAAAUUUAAUCAUAUUUUUCAAACAUUAAGGGGAAAAGCUGAUCCACCAUAUUAUGUGAAACUAUAUACUAUGCAUUUAAAUUUAAUAAAAAAAUCAAAAUAUAUUCUUGAUAUUUUUAAUCAUUUAUUAUAAUAACCCAUAAAAAAAUAUUUGAAAACAUUUAAAAUCUAUUUUUAAAAAACAAUAUGAUUUUAUAAUAAAGUUUAGAAAAAAACCAUUGUAAACCCCCUUUCAGAAGACCAAAGACUAUUAGUUCUUUUAGGGCCAUCAUCACAUCUACGUUCGGCGUUCGGAGCCAUCGUUAUCACUUCUCAGUGUCGGUGUUAAGAGCCAUCCUCGUCGCAUUUUCAGUUUCGACGUUCCGAGCCAUCAUCUCAUCUUCGUUCGCGUCCAGAGCCAUCGUUAUCACUUCUCAGUAUCGGCAUUCAGAGCCAUUGCCUACCUUUGUUUCGGCGUUCAGAGUCAUGUUUCACUUCGUUUGGUGUUCGGAGCCAUAUUUUCGCUCGGCGUUCAGAUCCACUUCUUCAUUUGACGUUCAGAGCCACUACGUCACUCAUUUCGGCAUUUAGCGUCCUGUUUUGUUUCAUUUUGACAUUCAGAGCCAUUACUUAUCUUUAUUUUGACGUUCAGAGCCGUGUCUUGCUUCGUUUGGCAUACAGAGCUAUAUCUUCGUUUGACAUUCGAAUCCACUUCUUCAUUCGGUGUUCAGAGCCACUGCAUAUCGUUCGUUUCGACGUUCAGAGCCACGUCUUCAUCUGCGUUCAGGACCAUUAUCUGUUUAUUAUUAUUAUUAUUAUUAUUAUUUAGUGUUUCGAGUGGAGGGUUUAGUUCGACACUCAGAGUCCUCAUGUCUAUCUUUCGUUCGAUUCAUCACCAUUUUCCUCAUUUCUGGCGUUCAGAGCCAUUGGGCACACUCUUUCGGGCCUUUUGAGCCAUUUAUUUUCUUUAAUUUUAACGUUCAGAGCCACUGUUAUAUUUGACGUUUGCCGCCACUACCACAUUUUUUCUUUUAGUUUGGCUUUCAAAGCCGUUUUUCAUACCCAUUCGUGCAUUUUGAGUCAUCAUCUUUCUUAGUUUUGGCAUUCAGAACCAUUGUUCUGUUUGACGUUCAGUGCCACCGUCAUUCUCUAGUUUGGCGUUCAGAGCCAUUGUACACAUUCAUUCGAAGACCUUGAGUCAUCAUCUUUCCGUGUUUUGACGUUUAGAGUCAUUUCUCCUCGACUGUAUCAUUCAGGGUCACAGCCCCUGGCAUUCGUAUUCGCUGACAUUAUACGUCUUGACUCCAUGGCUUUGCAUAUAUCCUUGUUUUCCUCACCGCGUUACCCUGUGCUUAUCGCUUAUUAGUCAUUGCUCUUCCAGAAUUCUCUUUUCAUUGCCCCUGACACGGUCCUUUGAGUUUAUGACACAUAUUUCGGUCAUGUUGUUGGGCACCCUAUGCUUGGCACUUUCAUGUAGUUUUCUUCGGGCAGUCUUCUUGGGACACUUUCUUUAUAGUACUCCAGAGUGGUUCGACAGUUACUCAUCUUUGAUAUGGUUUUUCGAGUCACUUAUGGAGACGUCUUAAAAAAAGUCUGGAUCCUUUAGUGUGGCUUCAAAGUCAUUUUGAGACAUCGUUUUCUUUUAGGAUUAAAGCCUUUAUGUUCGUCUAUUGACCUGAGUAAGUCCGUGUUUCACUGGUGUCCCUAUGGGGGUCUCUUUGUUUCUUCGGUAGAGUUCACUUCAUUCCACUCAUUAUUCACACUUUCUUUUUACUCUAGUAUUCAUAUUCCUUACAUUUGUAAAUUCUACCGAAGAUGGGCAUAUUUGUAGACCCCCUUUCAGAAGACCAAAGACUAUUAAUUCUUUUAGGGAUUUUUUUUUAGCAUGGAGGGAAUGCUAUUUCACCACUUGGUAUACCUGGUAGCACCCGAGAAGUGUGGGGGGACCCCUCUCCAUGCAUGGAUCCCAACUGCAUGCAGACGGUAGGGGACAUGAUGGUCGGAUGAAGGUGGUUGAGGAGCCCAUACCUGCUGAGGGGAUGAACAGAGAAGUAGGUAAUGGCUUGCCCAAGAAGAUAGAGAGAAGGGGGGGGGGGGGGGCAGAAGAAUUUUUUGGAAAAAAAAAAAAAACCGGAAAAAGAACUGAAGGCAAGGAGGGAGCCAGAUGUCUGAAAAAGGGGGAGGGGAAUCCCAAAAGAAAGGAGAAACCUGGAGGGGGAGAAGGGGGAGAGGGAUGAUAUUUUCCCUGGGUCUUGGGCUCCCUUGGAGUAUAUGAACUCCCUAUUUUUCUCUUAAUAGUUUUGAGUAAAUAUCAUCCGGGUAUAUGUUUCGUUUCCUGGGUCAUAAUUAUGGGUUGGGAGCUGCCAUCUCUUUCCUAUUUUUGGGUUGGUUGGGNNNNNNNNNNNNNNNNNNNNNNNNNNNNNNNNNNNNNNNNNNNNNNNNNNNNNNNNNNNNNNNNNNNNNNNNNAGAGAGGUAUGAUAUUUACCAUGGCUCGAGCUGAGGGCAAGGAGGGAGCGAGAUGUCUGAGAGAGGUGGAGGGGAAUCCAGAGAGAAAGGAGAAGCCUGAAGGAGGAGAAGGGAGAGAGGUAUGAUAUUUACCAUGGCUCUUGGACUCACUUGAUGUAUAUGAUCUCCUUAUUUUUCUCUUAAUAGUUUUGAGUAAAUAUCAUCUGAGUAUAUGUUUCGUUUCAUGGUUCAUAGUUAUGGUUUGGAUGCUGCUAUCUCUUUCAUAUUUUUGGUUUGUUUGGAGAGCAAUGAAGCUAUGUUUUAACCUCCUCUUCAUGGCCAUUACCAUGCUCAUCAUCCACCCCCCAAUACCCACACUGUCACGCACUAAUAUACCAACUCCAUUUCAUCACCAUCCGACAUUCCAUGCAUGGCCGUCACCCUUACCCAUCUUCCCCAUCAUCUUUUCUCUCUCUAGCCGACAUACUCAUCCCUCACCCACGUGCGCGGAACCUGGUAUACCUGGCUGCCCACCAUGCCCGUGUUCAGCUCGUCUCCACAAGAACCCCCAAAGCCGCCCGUCUACACGCGUGUGUCCCAUGCACGCAAGCCGCCCUGUCCCUCUUUUUUUUUUUUGCUGCAUGCACCGCGUCGACAAGGCCCCUGCUCCUUACCAGCCACCAUCACCCGCUCUAGUCAUGCGGGCAUUCGCACCAGCCGCCAUGGCGGCAACAUCUCUUGGAUGCCACGGGACUGCCGCCACUGCUCCUCUCUCCAUGGUGCCGCUGGCGGUGGGAGCUUCCUCUGAGGAUGAUAUCCAGGCGGAGGGGCAAGCUAUGAAGGAGAUGAAGUCUUGGGCUUGAGAAGAAGCCCAACCCAAUCAUGUUGAUGGAACCAUGUCAUCUCAAAUAAGUGGGCUGUGAGAGGAAAUGAUGCCUUGGGCUUGCCCAUGAUGAGAAUUGAUUUGGGCUUUAGUGGGCUGGACCCAGAUGAAAGGUCCAAGCUUGUCAUGAAGGUAAUGGGUGCCUUGGGCUUGCCCAUGGCAAGGACUUUGGGCUUAAGUUGGAGCCCAGGCCCAAAAGUUGCUGAUGAAAGGCCCCAUUGCUCCUUAAGCCAAUCACCCUCAUGGCCCGAGUCCAUGUUGAGUUAGCCCAUUUGGUUGCCUUAAUUCCAAAAAAAUCUCUAUACCUCUAAUCCUUCAAAAAUCUCAUGGCUUAAUUUAAUUUUCCAAUAGAUUCGUUUAAAUCUCAUUUUCAUCAAUUAGGACUAUUAUCAUAUACUUAUCUAACUAUUUAAAGCCUAAAUCUUUCAAGGAAAUCAUAUGCCUUAAUUUAAUUUUCAAUAAUUAGUUCAAAUCUCAUUUUCAUCCGUUAAAAUUAUUUAUCCCAUAUUUAUCUAGCUAUUUAAAGUCUAAAUCUUUCAAGGAAAUCAUAUGCCCUAAUUUAAUUCUUCAAUAAUUAGUUCAAAUCUCAUUUUCAUCCGUUAGGAUUAUUUAUCUCAUAUUAUCUAGCUAUUUAAAGUCUAAAUCUUUCAAAGAAAUCACACAUCUUAAUUUAAUUUCUCAAUAAUUAGUUCAAAUUUUAUUUUCAUCCAUUAGAAUUAUUUAUCCCGUAUUAUCUAGCUAUUUAAAGUCUAAAUCUUUCAAAGAAAUCACAUAUCUUAAUUUAAUUUUUCAAUAAUUAGUUCAAAUAUCAUUUUCAUCCAUUAGAAUUAUUUAUCUCAUAUUUAUCUAGCUAAUUAAAGUCUAAAUCUUUCAAAGAAAUCACAUAUCUUAAUUUAAUUUUUCAAUAAUUAGUUCAAAUCUCAUAUUCAUUAGAAUUAUUUAUCAUAUACUUAUCUAGCUAUUUAAAGUCUAAAUCUUUCAAAGAAAUCACAUAUCUUAAUUUAAUUUUUCAAUAAUUAGUUCAAAUCUCAUUUUCAUCCCUUAGAAUUAUUUGUCACAUAUUUAUCUAGCUAUUUAAAGUCUAAAUCUUUCAAGGAAAUCACACAUCUUAAUUUAAUUUUUCAAUAAUUAGUUCAAAUCUCAUUUUCAUCCAUUAAAAUUAUUUAUCCCGUAUUAUCUAGCUAUUUAAAGUCUAAAUCUUUCAAAGAAAUCACAUAUCUUAAUUUAAUUUUUCAAUAAUUAGUUCAAAUCUCAUUUUCAUCCAUUAGAAUUAUUUAUCCCAUAUUUAUCUAGCUAAUUAAAGUCUAAAUCUUUCAAAGAAAUCAUAUAUCUUAAUUUAAUUUUUCAAUAAUUAGUUCAAAUCUUAUUUUCAUCCAUUAGAAUUAUUUAUCAUAUGCUUAUCUAGCUAUUUAAAAUCUAAAUCUUUCAAAGAAAUCACAUAUCUUAAUUUAAUUUUUCAAUAAUUAGUUUAAAUCUCAUUUUCAUCCAUUAGAAUUAUUUAUCUCAUAUUAUCUAGCUAUUUAAAGUCUAAAUCUUUCAAAGAAAUCAUACGUUUUAAUUUAAUUCUUUAAUAAUUAGUUCAAAUCUCAUUUUCAUCCCUUAGAAUUAUUUAUCCCGUAUUAUCUGGCUAUUUAAAGUCUAAAUCUUUCAAGAAAAUCAUACGUCUUAAUUUAAUUCUUCAAUAAUUAGUUCAAAUCUCAUUUUCAUCCAUUAGAAUUAUUUAUCCCAUAUUUAUCUAGUUAUUUAAAAUCUAAAUCUUUCAGGGAAAUCCUAUGUCUUAAUUUAAUUCUUCAAUAAUUAGUUUAAAUCUCAUUUUCAUCCAUUAGAGUUAUUAUCCCAUAUUCAUCUAAUUAUUUAAAGUCUAACCCUUCAAAAAUCUCAUGUCUUAAUUCAAUUUUUCAAUAGUCCGUUCAAACCUUAUUCGUCUAAAUGUUAUUUUCCUUAAGUAAAAUUAUUAUAGUAUAUUUAUUUAUUUAUUUAUUUAUUUAAAGUCCAAUUCUUCAAAAAUCCAACGUCCUAAUUUAAUUUUCGAUCUCAAAAAUCCCACUACUCAUUUUUCAUUCAUUUAAAUAUUAUUUUCAUUAAAUUAGCAUUAUUAUCCCAUACUUAUUUAUUUAUUCCAACCAUUAAAGUUUAAUUCAUCAUAACCCGACUUCCAAAUCUAAUUUUCAAUCUCAAAAGCUCCACCGUCCCUAUAUUGUCGUUUAACGAUUAUUCUCGUUAUUAAUGUUAUCUCAUCCACUUAUUCAGUUAUUCAUAUACCAAAGAUCUCGUCCCUAAAUAUUUUCUUAAAUUUUCAAUCUAUGAGUUUAAUCUCCAAUCUCUAAAAAUUCCAUCUCUCGUAAUUAUUUACCUGAUCUUUAUUAUUUCACCAUCCCAUUCAUUUACUUACUCACUCAUUCGCUUAUCCACUCGUUUAAAAUCCCGAACUCUCAAAUCAUUUUUCAAAUUUCCAACCUCGUUCAAAUUCAAUUUCUAAUAUUCUCGUUCUCACAUUUAGUUUCUAAAAGUAUGAUCUUCAAAUAAACUUUAAAAUUCCAAUUUUUAAAUAACCAUCGGGACUCCAAUUUUUCAAAUGAAUUUCAAAUAUCCGAUUUUCUCUCAAAUAGUUUUAAUUUCAUUCUGGUCUUCAAACAAUCUUCUGCUCCUCUUGAUUUUAAUAAGCAUGAACGAAUUUUUCAUAAUUCCAAAAUAAUGGAGUCUGUGACGUUAAGUCAUGCAAAUAUAAACGGGUUUUAGUGGGAGCCCAACAUGGGUGACUUUAUGAUUGAUUGAUUGAUUGUUUGAUUUAAUUAUCAUACACGAUUGGUUUAUCCUACUCUCUAACAUGCAUGCGAUUAUUCCUAAAUUGUGCACUAACCCUCUCUAUUGAUAGCGCAUGGUGGCUCGUUGCCCAGGUAUGUACCCAUUUUCCCUCUAAUCGUUGUCUAUGCAUGUCUCGAUUCUUAUAUGUGCAUGAUCAUUCAGGAUAUUCAUUGAUUUACUCAUCAAUUGUCACGUCAGCUUCAUUUUAUUAGUAGAGACCCAACUUUAGGGACUUACAAGGGUGCUACGGCCUUUACCGUACCUUCCCGAUAAGUAACCUGACCCCCAAACCGGAUCCGGUUUUUCGUAAAUCACCUUUUCCAAAAUAAGGAGUCGUACUUAGGGUUUUCUUUCUUAUUUUGUUUACUCUUUUAAAAAUAAAAUAAAAAUAAGUGAUGACUCUCAGUCAUUUUCUUAAUCAAUAAAAAUUGUUUUUCAAAUAAAAAUCGAGCUCACCAUCCAGUGGGAAACGUAUGAGCCGAAAUGCGGGGCCACAACCAUUAUCAAUCAUAUUUUUUAAAAAAAAAACUAUUUACUUAAUUACUUUAUUCACCACCAAAGAUUUUCCUCGUCUCUUGGCAUAUAAGCUCAUGGGUCGAAGUUCCACGAAACUCCAGGGUACAACAAGGGGUAAAAAGGUCACAUAUCACAGUCACUUCCCAAAUACGUAUGAAUUGAUUUCGUGCAAUCCAUCAUCUUCAAGAAACAAGAGGCGAGAGAGCCGUUUCACGUACUGAAUUUGGGUGUUGUGGUGAGUCUCAUGGACAACUGGACUCGAAAAUGAUCCGACUCUUUUAUGUCGUCUCGGCAUUAUUAAUUUCCGCAAAUCCAUCACAUUGCGCCCCGUACGUUUCUGUUAGGAUUCUUUCAAAUAAUUUUUCACGUAUCCGAUUACUAGUCUAUCUGAAAAAGCAGAUAUUUCAAAUUGUUGGCCCCGCUUUCAUCUAUAAUUAGCCUUAUUAGUCAAAUAAUUCACACUACUCAUUGUUCAUGCUCACAGAAGCACUUAUCUCACUAUUCAAGUGGAAUGGUUGGGCAACUUCACCACUACUCUAUGAAUAUAUUUUAUAUGUUUUGAGCACUUCUGGCUUUGAAUAAAGCAUUUUUUAUAGUCAUAUUUGUACACCUAAUUUUCAUAUGAAGUCAUAUUUGUACAGCUAAUUUUCAUAUGAAGUCAUAUUUGUACAGUUAGUUUCCAUAUGAAUCGAGAGGAGGAAAAGAGAAAAAUGUGAAAUGGCCAACCUUUUCCAUACGUGAAAUAUUGGUAGUCCAAUGCAGGCUCCUUUUUUUUGAAUGGAAAAUAACUAUAUUCAAAAGGAUGAAUUCUCCGGAAUGGGUGAAUUUCAGGAUUGGGCCUUAAGUGCUUUAGCAAAUGUCAAGUAAGCGUACGUGAAGAUAUAAACAGCGAGUCAGGAUCCUUUUUUUACACAGCCUCCUCCCAUUCGCCUUUAGCCACUUACGCGUGAAUUCCGCGCUUAGAACAAUUUUAACAUCUCAUGCAAUGCUGGUCCACCAAAGAAUCCAAUCAAAAUGCUAUAAUUCAAUUCAUUACCACGGAAUCUCAAACCUGUUGAUUCUUCUCAUAUCAAAAAGCAACUCAAUUAUGGACAACUUUUCUUCUUUUUCUCCAUCAAAUACUCAUGGUGGUAGAUGCCUCCUUUCUUUAUCUCCCUAUAUAUAUUUAUUUAUAUAUCUUUCCCACAGACAAAACCACUUCCAAAGCUCUCUUAACCAGCCAUGGGUUCCAACCACAAGAGUCUCCAGGCAAUAUUGGGCGCACCAGGAGUGAGGGGUAAGAGGGUAACGGCUCUAUCAAAAGAUGGAUUAACUGAUUUUGUGCUUUCCAUGAUCUCCAAGAAACAAGAGCUCAAAGAGCCAUUUUAUGUGCUUGAUUUGGGUGUGGUGGUGAGUCUCAUGGAGAAGUGGUCUCGGGCUCUGCCUCUGGUUCGACCCUUUUAUGCUGUCAAGUGCAACCCGGACCCCACAUUUCUUGCUGCACUAGCGGCUCUCGGCUCAAGCUUUGACUGUGCUAGCCGCACGGAGAUUGAGACCGUUUUGGGUCUUGGAGUUUCUUCGGAUCGGAUUAUUUUUGCAAACCCAUGUAAAGCCGAGUCUCAUAUCAAGUACGCCGCAAGCGUAGGCGUUAACUUGACAACUUUUGAUUCAAGGGAUGAAAUCGAGAAAAUUCGAAAAUAUCACCCGAAAUGUGCCUUAUUGAUCCGGGUGAAACCUCCGGAGCACGGUGUCCAUUAGAGUCCAAGUACGGUGCACUCCCUGAGGAGGUGACGCCGCUCCUCCAGGCUGCACAAGACGCUCGGCUCACUGUCUCCGGCGUGUCUUUCCAUAUUGGUAGCGGCGCCACCCUUGCGCAGGCCUACCGGGGGGCGAUAGCUGAAGCGAGGGCGGUGUUUGAUACAGCCUCGCGGCUCGGCUUGCCUCGAAUGCAUGUGCUCAAUAUCGGUGGCGGCUUUACAUCUGGGCCGCACUUCGAUGACGCCACUUCUGCUAUCAAAUCGUCUCUCCAAGCCUACUUCCCUAACGAACAUGGGUUAACCAUCAUAGGCGAGCCAGGCAGGUACUUCGCCGAAUCGGCUUUCACUCUAGUCACCAAUAUUAUUGGGAAGCGUGUGAGGUCGGAGCUGAGGGAGUACUGGAUCAACGACGCAUUUACGGCUCUCUGAACUGUAUACUAAACGACCAUGCAACUGUGACCGCGAAGCCUCUCGCUUGCACUUCCAAUAGCGUGAACCCCACGUGCCGUCGAGUUAGGACUUACUCCUCUACAGUGUUUGGACCCACGUGCGACGCACUUGAUACAGUUUUGACCGGUCACCAGUUGCCAGAACUGCAGGUCAAUGAUUGGCUGAUGUUUCCUAGAAUGGGAGCUUAUACCGCUGCUGCCGGGUCCAACUUCAAUGGGUUUAACAUGUCCGCGGUUACGACCCACCUAGUCUACUCGAAUCCAACCUGAGACGUGGUGCUUUUUGGAUGGUUGUUGACAAUCUUUUCCUUCUUGUCCCUUAUGGAGAAAUUUACGUAAGAAAAUCGAUUGUGUCUUUGCUUUGGAGUUUGGAAUAUUAAUAAUAAACAUGGAUUGUUGUAAUGGUGUGCUUUAUAAUUUAAUUAAACUAUUUUCCUUAUCCAUUUCUAGAAAACAGAAAUCAUAUAAUUUCUUUUCUUACUGGAUUGUACAUGUAAAAAGUUCAAUUCUUCUCAAAAAGUCAAAAUCACCAUGGUUAUCUUAAAAAAAUAAAAAUAAAAAACAAAAAUUGACAUGUGGUAACCACCCAUGUCAUAUAAUUUCUCUUUAUUUAUUUAUUAUGUUUGUCAAUUUUUUUUAAGCUUGACAUAUGUCCCAAAUUAUUUUUAUUUUUAUUUUCUCUUUCUUUAUUUUAGUUUUUUUAGUUUUUUUUUUUAUAUGUUAGUUACAUUUUUUUUAUGAAUUUUUUAAUUCUUUUUUUUCAUUCUUUCAUCUUUUUAUUUUAAUUAUUUAUGAACCCUUGAAAUAUAAAAUAAUAUAUAAUAUAUAAUAUAUAAUAUAUAAUAUAUAAUAUAUAAUAUAUAAUAUAUAAUAUAUAAUAUAUAAUAUAUAAUAAAUAAUUAAUGAAAAAUUUUAAUAUAAUUUUUAUUUUUUAUUCAUAUAAAAUAAAAAUAAAAAAUAAAAAAUAUUUUUUCAUGCACAAUUUGUAUUUAAUAAUUUAUAUUAAUUUUUUCUUAGUUUUAUUAAAAAAUAAUUUUUUUUUGCAUAGUGAAAAUUGUGCAACACAACUCUUAGAAAAAAAAGGAUAUCACUCUUUUAUAAAAAAAAAUAACAUUAAUUAGUAUAGCUCUUAGAAAAUAAGGUAUUACUCUUUUAUGAAAACCGUAACAAAUUGUUAAAGGUAUACUUAACACACUUGAGUAUUAUUAUUAUUUUAUAUAAAAAACAAAAGUAAUAUCCUUUUUUUCCAAUGGUUGUGUCUAUUUGUGCACAAUUUGAGUGUGCAAAAAUUUUAAUUUUUAAUAAUUUUUUAAAAAAUAAUAUAAAUGAUUAGAUACAAUUUUUUAACAAAAAAUUAAAAUUUUUAAUAAAAAAAUGUUAGAACCACAACCAAGUUUUUAUCCUCUUUAAUUAAAAAUAUUAAAUAUUUUAAUUAAGAAAAAAGUUAAAACCACAAUCAAAUUAAAUUCAUAAGCAAAAAGUUAAAACCAUAAUCAUCAAUUUUGAUUUUAUUAUGAAAAAUUGAAAAUUUUAAAAAAUAAAAAUAUUAAAAUAAUAUGACAAUGUAAUAAGAUUUAUAAAAUAAAUAAAUAUUUUUUAGUAGCAAUCUAAAAAUCUUAUAUUAUAAAUCUCUAAAUUUGUUCAUUGUGUAUUUAUUUUUAUAUUAAAUUUGUUUUCAUUAGUUAUUAAUUAUUUAUUUUUAUUUUAUAUUUAAAAUGUUCUUAAAUAAUUGAAAUCAAUGCAUAUGAAGUGAUGAAAUUGUGAAAAAAAAAUUAAAAUUUUAAAAUUUUGAUAAAGCCAACACAUUAAAAAAAGCAAAAAAGGUAUUUUUAACUUUUGAAAAUAGUUUUUGAAUUUUUAUAAAACAAAAGUCUAUUUGAAAACUUAAAAUAUUUUUAACACAUUUUUAAUAUUUUUAAAUAUGUUUGAAAAAUAAAUUUUAUAUCUGGUGUUUUAUUUUUUUAUUUAUUUUUUUUUAUCAUUUUACAUGUUUUUGUAUGAUUAUUUUGUUAAAAUAACUCUUAAAAAAUAAGUAAAAAUAAAAAAAAAAAUAUUUUACUUUUUAUUCUUAAUAAAAAAUCAUUUUUAAUUGUUAAUUUUUUUUUUUUUAUCUUUUAAAUAAUAAAAAACUAUUCUAAAAAAUAAUUUUCAUGAAUCCUAUUGAGAUGCUCUUACUUAAGCAACUAUCUCUAACAAAUUAUUUGGUCCUAUUUGUUAUUAAUGGGAUCAAGAAUACUUUCAAUAAGAAAUAUAUUGAAGAGUUGGUGCAGGGUAAUAAUGGGAUCAGAGUUUAUGAAAAGUCUGAUCUAAAAUUCCUAAAAAAAAAUUAGCCUUUUAUUAUUAAAUCAACAAUGAUCCGGUAAAAGGGGAUUUAAGCUAGGUUCAAUAGAAAAUAAGACAAUUAUGUUUUGGACCUACUUGAGUAAAAAAAUUAAGCUUUGGUCUGUAUAAGUUCACCAUUUAAGUUCAAGAUCUAGAAGAAGUGUGAAAAUUGAUAGGAAGGAUAUGAAUUUUUUAUCUUUCAAAAAAUGAUAUUUAUUGACUAUGAAAAAAGGAAAGUAGAAAAGCAUUAAUUUAAAUUUUAUUUAUUUUGUAAACCUCAAUAAAAUUUAAUUUAAUUUAGUGAUUUGGAAAAAAAUAUACCAUUUUCCAAAAACAUAAAAAUAAAAAUAAAUUAUUAUUAUUAUUAUUAUUUAAAAAUCAAACAUCUUAGAAAAUAUCUAUCUUUAAAAUUGUGUAUAUAAAAAAUAACUAAAAAUAUGUCAAAAUUAUUUUUUUUAAAUGAUGUAUUUUUAGAAUAUAUUUAAAAAAAAUUAGUUUUCUAAAAAUAAUGAAUUUUCAAAAUAAUUAUUAAAUAAAUAAAUAAAAAAGUUUAUCAAAUAUUAUGAUAGAAAAUACUCAAAAUAGUUUUGAAAUGCAUAUUGGUUUCUUCAUAUUUUAUAUUAUUUUUAUCAAUUAUAUAAUUUUUAUGUGUCAAAUCUUAAGUUUUUGGCUAAUUGGGUCAAAAGCACAAUUAUGCCGGGGGGAAAUAUGGAUGGAAAAGUUGUUGGUUAGGAACUUAGGACACAGAUUAUAAACUUUUUGUACGUGGUAUGCCUACCUUUUUUGAAAUAUUUCCAAUCGCUUUUAUAGACAAGACGAAUUGUUGGAAGUAUAGCAUCGAACAAGUAGACGUAGCUGUUGACUUGUAUGGCGAAACAAUGUUCUAUCAAAUCGGUCAAACUCUCCCAUUUCUGGCCGCUUCUCCAGUUCUCCUUCGUGAUUGAUAACGAGGUGAGGCCCACAUCCCAACAUAUCAUAUCUUACAUGGGCUGAUGAUUUUCCUACGUGGCCAUCAAACAAAUAAAGAAAAAUGGAAAGGGAGAAUCACGGCCACAUAAAAAUAAAAUAAAAUUUAAAUGUUAGAUUUUUAACUUUGGAAACAAAACACGUACAUUUUGGAAAAAUUUCCAAAAACUAGUCUCUCUACCCAUCACUCCUACCCCCCAUCACCUACUUAUUUUUAUUCUCUCUACCCAUCUCUCCUACUCCCAUCACCUACCUAUUUUUAUUUUUAUUUUUGACACGUCAGAGAGCAUCAUGAUUAUCUUAAAAAAAAAAAACACCUUUGAAAUGUGGCAACCAACCACUGGCACAUGAUUUAUUUAUUUUUUCAAUUUACUAGCUUCAUGAAAUUUUUUUAAUUUCAAUUUUUUUCACCACUUCAUAUUAAUUGAUUUUUAUUAUUUUAUUGAUAUUUUAAACAUAAAAUAAUAAUUUAUGAUAAAUAAUUAAUGAAAAUAAAUUGAAUAUUAAAAUAAAUACAUAACUAAUAAAUGUAGAGGUUUAGGAUAUAAGAUCUUUUAUAUUAUGUUAAAAAAAUAUUUAUUUAUUUUAUAAAUCUUAUUAUAUUGUGAUCUUAUUUUAUUAUUUGUAUUUUUAAAAAUUUUAAAAAUUUCAUGUGACAAUCAAAAUUAAUGAUCACGACUUUACCUUUUUGAUCAUGGUUCUAAAUUUUUGAUUGAUUAAAAUAUUUAAUUGUUUAUUGGUUAAAAUAUUUAAUUGUUUAUUUAUAUGAAAUAAAAAUAUAUUUUUCAUAACAAAUUGUAUUUAAUAAUUUAUAUUAAUUUUUUAAAAUUUUAUUAAAACUUUAAUUUUUUACUUACCAAGUACUGAAACCAAUUUAGAGUGUUUAGGAAGGUGUUAAUUUUUUUUUUGUGUACUUCAAAGAUGUGUAAUUUUAGUAUGCAAAAAUAUUAAAGAUACUUGAAAGAUGUAUAAAUUUAACAUGGAAAAUUUUUAAAUCUGUUAUAAAAUAUAUAGUUUAUUUUAUAUUUUAUAUAAAUAAAAAAUUAAAUAUCUUUACCAAGAAAAAAGUUAAAAUCAUAAUAAAAAGGCUAGAACUAUGAUUAUUGAUUUUGAUCUUCACAUGAACAUAUAAAAAUUUCAAAAAAUAUAUACAAUAAAAUAAUAUGGCAACAAUAUUUUUAUUUAAUUUAAAUAUGAUAAGAUUUAUAAAAAUAAAUAAAUAUUUUAUUAUUUUUAUUUAAUAUUGAUAUAUAAAAUCUUAUAUCGUAUACUUCUAAAUUUGUUCAUGUAUUUAUUUUUUUAUUAAAUUUAUUUUCAUUAAUGAUUUAAUAUAUAUAUAUAUAUAUAUAUAUAUAUAUAUAUAUAUAUAUAUAUAUAUAUUAUUAUUUUAUGAUUAAAGUGUUUAUAAAUAAUUUAAAAAUAAAUAUGAAAAACAUAUUUUAUUUUUAUUUGAUAUAAAUAAAAAUUACAAAUUUUAACAAUGCAAAAUAUUAGAACUAAAGCUAAGUUUUUAUCUUUUAUAAUUAAAAAUAUUAACAUUUUAACUAAAAUAAAAGAAGUUAAAAACACAGUUAAUUAAGAUCAUAAACAAAAAAACUAAAAUUAUGAUUAUUAACUUUAAAUUUUAUAUGAAAAUUUAAAAAUUUUAAAAAUAUAAAUAAUUAAUAAUAUGACAAUGUAACAUUAUUUAUAAAAUAAAUAAAUAUUUUAUUUAAUAGGAACAUAGAAAAUCUCAUGUUAUAAACCUUUAUUUUUUUAUUUUUAUAUUAAAUUUGUUCUCCUAUUUUCUUAUUAGGCUUUCACCUUAUAAAUUAGUUGUGUACACAUUAUUUUUUUUAAAGAAAAUAUAAGAAAAAAAUUAUAAUUAUUGUUUUUAUUAUAGAAAAUAAAAAAAUCAAAUUUAACCAAAUUUAACUAAGAUUCUUGCAAUUUUUUUUGUAAAUUAUUUUAAUUUUGUAUAUGAAAAAUAAAAAAAUAAGUUAAAUAAAUUAAAAAUAACAUAUGAAAUAAUUCAAUGGUUUUAAUCUAUCUUUUGUAUUAUUUUUCGUCUUCUACUUUUUUUUUUCCCCUUCACAUUUUUUGAAACUUAAACAUGAUAAAAAAAAAAAAAAUAGUUUUAGUUUGAGAUUAGAUUAGCUAAAUUCAAAAUUUAAAUUGAUUUUUUUUAAUAGGAAUUUAAUUAUGGCAUAACCAAAAGGAAAAUGUGAUCGUAUCUGGAAUUAAAGAUCAAAAUUGUUAUUUAAUAACAGGUAAACGAUUAAAAAAUUAUCUAAAAACAUCUGAUUGACGCAAUCAACCACGUGGCGACAAAAGAGUUUAGGUGAACAUGCGGCUCUCACGCAAUAUAAUCUUGGCCCGCUUGUGUUUUAGACGCGGGCCGGACUGGCCCAUUUUCAGCCCAUAAUAUUUGGGAUAAGUAGAAUAAAAUCCAAAAAUCAAAGGGAAAACAGCCAGAACCCCAGGUGAGCAAAGACCAGCUAUUCCGUCUAUUUUUUUGUGUCAUCACGCCAUGGAAGCUCUGAGUUCCUCUGCAACAAUCAUAGCUGCUUCAUCGUCAUCUCCAUCGAUUUUCUCCCCAAGGAAAAGAGACUCACCAAGAUUCCUUCGAGUCAACGUUUCUCCAAAAGGUAAGAUCUCACCACAGCAUCUGCCAUCAUUUCUGAUUUCUUUCGUUUUCUUUUCUCUUUUUGUGAAAUUAACAAUAGAAUAUGGUUUUGAAUCAGAUAACGGGAACGAUUCCGAUGUCCGAUCCGAAUCGGAUGAGUCAAGCUUGGUUCCCAUCCUGACGAAUCGUACUCUCUCGAAGGUGAGUUCCUGUUAACGAAAUCCUGUUCAAUUUUUAUUUUUAUAGUAAUUUAGGGUUUAUUUUUUAGGCUUAUUUUUUUUGGAAAUUUUCUUAGGAUGCGGCGAUGGGGUUGGUUCUGAGUGCGGCGUCGGUGAGAGGUUGGACGACGGACUCUGGUAUGGAAGGUCCUUCGGUUCCGGCGGCGGCGGAGGCCCGAUCCAGUACGGAGAGGAUCUCAACCUUCCCGUGGUCCCUCUUUACCAAAUCGCCACGUCGAAGGAUGCGCGUUGCCUUCACUUGCAAUGUUUGCGGUCAGCGGACCACUCGUGCCAUCAAUCCUCAUGCUUACACCGAUGGAACCGUUUUCGUCCAGGUAAUUUUUUCUCCCUGUCCUCUGUUUGGUUGAUGGGAAAAGAUAAUAGAAAAAUAAAAUAAAAUCAAUAUCUUGUUUUAUGUUAUUUGUUUCCAAAUAAUGAAAACAACUUGCCUGAAUAAAGCAUUAUGUAAGGCUCAAUUGAAAGAGGUUUCUGUUUUCUCAGCUGCAAUUAUAGUUUCUUAUUGUGAAUGGCGUGUCCGUGAUUUGCAGUGCUGUGGAUGCAAUGUGUUUCAUAAACUGGUGGACAAUCUGAAUCUUUUUCAUGAGAUGAAGUGCUACGUGAACCCGAGCUUCAAUUACAGUGAUCCAAGAGGGGAUGUGGGCUUCAAGUAUCUUGAUAUGGAUGAUGAUAAUAACAAUGACGUCUUUCCUAUCUUUUGAGGUGAAAGAAUUGCUUAUAUACUUGUACAUUUCCUAUAUCAUACUUAGAAACUGAUUUUAAUUGCAUCUGUAAAUAUAUUGUCACUAUUGGUUUACAUGGGGUGUUCAAUUAAUAAUUCAGAGUUGGAUCCUUUUUAGAUGAUUUGGGUCACCAGGUUCAUUACUUAAUACUUGGUUUAUAUCUGUUUAUAUUGGAAAUAAUGUAAGAACUUUGUCCAGCAUCCAGGUCCCUCCUAAUUUGAUGCACUCCUAUUUGUUGUGCUUUAGUUCUCAUCAUUUACAGAAAGAUCUUGAGGGGUAAGCUAUAUGGAUUAGGAAUUUAACUUUAGGUCAUGGCUAUAUGCAUUGGAGUUUUUAAUCAUUGUCUUUCUUGAAGAUAUAGAAACUAUGUGGAUUCUACUUUUGAAGCUCCUAAAGUUGCAGUUUCUAAUUCUGUGUUGCAGUUGUAGUGGGUUUUUUUCUUUUGUUAGAAAGUUGGUAUUAUUGGUACCCAAUAAACUAUAUAUUAGAUUUAGUUUCAUAGUUGGAAGUGAAAAUGAAAUUUAGAUGGAAAGAUUGAUGACCUGUUAUUGAAUAGUCUAAAGGGAACAAACCAUCUUGUAUAACAACACUUCAUUGGCUGUGCAAGAAGAACCUGUAUUAUGCUUGAUGAAAAUGUAGGGAUAAUGGAAGAGAUGAAACAUGGAAAUUGAGUAAGAUAUAAGGUAAAAAGAAGCGAGAUUGAAUUUAGGGCCUAUAAUGCUCUUUAUCAUGAGAUCUUCAGUAGUUAGAUUCAAGGACCAGUUUCUGUGUGGUUUUGUUCCUUCCAGGCAGUAGUUCAGUUCAUUCAACUUGCUGAAUCAGAAAAUAGGAUAUGUUAUUAAGUAUGAUCAAAACUGAAUGUUCAUGAAUACUUAUUUCUCCAGACAUUCAGCUUAAUCUCUGAAAUGAUUUUAGAAAAUAGUAGCUUAACCAUGAGCAUGGUAUUAUUGAGUUGAAAUAUGCAACAUAUAGCUUAGAAACCUAUUGUUAAGUGUGGCUGUUGGGGAUGUCAUUUAUGUUUGAAUGGUUAAGUUUUCUAUCUUUCUUGAGAUCCUUGACCUCAGAGGUGUAACAUUUAGUGUCCAAUAGUGCAAAAUUAGAGUUUUCUCUUUUACCAAGAGAAAAGAAAAAAAAAAAAAAAAAAAAAAAAAAGAGCAAAAAGGACAAUAAAAAAUCCAAACAGUGUUGGCUUGUCCAAAAAAUGUAUUUGUGUACCUUGCAAAGAAGUCUAAAAUAGGUGCCAUCUCUAGAAUGGGGUUAAUAAAUUUUUAACAUGUACUCACUUGUUAUACUUUCCAUAAUUUUGGGUUGUUUAUCUUGAUUUGCAGGAAAAUACUAAGAUCUAAGGUAAGGUAGGUGCUAAAUAUUUUAUUAAAGCUAAAACUUGUAGUGAUUAUUUAAGCUGACAUUUCAGUACUAAAUGUGUGUUGGAUAAACAUGAAGAUAUCACAUAAGUGGUACAUGGAUUGCCUGUUUAACACAGAUAUACAUAGACAAUUAACUGAGCAAUCUGUUCCAGAUUGAUAUUCCAAGGAUCACGAGGGCCCAUACUAACCCAUAAACAUUUUUUCAUCUUUAGAAAUGUAGAUGUGGGGCAAGUUGCUGCAAGUUUUUUUUGAUAAGUAAGCACAGAAUUCAUUCAAAGAAGGCAAAAAAGCCCCAUAGUAUACAGGACGUAUAUAAGGCAGCUAAGACCUUACAAGCAAAAAAAGACCAAAAACUCACCACCCCUUAACUGGAGGCUAACCACUCCAGGAAUCCUAUAAGGGAAUGCAAGUUGCUGCAAGUUGAUUCAAUUAAGAUGCCAUUUGGCUGAUUCUUUUUCUAGACAGACUCUAUCAACAGUUGGAAGAAGUUGUAUCCCUGGAAAUAAAAAAAGUACUUGGUGGUUUAAGAUUAAACAAUUGAACAUGAUAGAUUAGAGAUGAUUUUUUUGAAAUCAGAUUUUAGUGGUGCCUCUUUUUUUGUUUCCCAUUAAGUCCUACUUGAUGUAAGACAACCCUAGGAUAGUUGUCUACACUCAAAUAGGUGGGCUAGGGUUUUUAUUUUUUAGGAUGUAGGGAGAGAAACAAGGAAUCAAGUUUAUGGUAGAGAAAAAAAAAAAAAACCUUCUAGAAGUUUUACCUAAAAGAAAAUUAAUGGAGUUUCACUAAGGAUUGCAACACUUGUAAUAAAAAAAACAUAAUAUUAUUAACAUCAAUCAAUUCUAAAGUCUACUAGGAUUCUAAUAACUUAUUCAAACUUUGAUUCUAAUUAUCUUAUAACAAUUGACUUUAACAAAUGCUAAUCCUAACUUGACUCCAACAAAUACUAAUCCUAAUUUAAUUUCAUUAAAUACUAAUUUUAAUUUAAUUCCAAGUUAUACUAAUCUAACUCUCUAAUUGCAACUUGCAACUAAUACAAAUUCACUACAGGUGGUACUCAUUUAUCCUUGCUUCAGCCACUAAACAUUGUUGUUGAGAAUAACAUCUGUGUAAUCAUAGCUAGGAGAAAGCUUCAAUUCACUAAUUUUUAUGUUCCUGGUUGUUUUAGUGCCAAUUCUUGGAGUGUACCUACUUUGUCAUGAAAUUCUUGGUUUCAGCCUUCGUUGUUUACAAAUUUCGAUAUGUGAGGGUAGAAAAAAUACAUAAUGGUUCGACCUUUAUUGUGUGAAACAGAUGCAUGUGUAGAAAACAGAAAUUGGGUCUGUGGUGGAGGGCAGGACUUUGAGACGUGUGGUUUAGGUGGUGUAUUGAGAUGAGGGGGUAGGCGUGGUCCUUAUGUCUAAAAUAUCUUCUACAUUUCAUUAGAACUGGCUAGGAAAGCAAUGCAAAGGAAUCUUUUGAACCUCAUAAUCGUUUAAAAAAACUAGGUCUCCGAAAAUGAAUUGUUUGUUUCCUAUUAAAAUAUGAAUUUCAAGUUUUGCUGUUGGAUAUUUAAGAUCAUGCUUAUACUUGGAACGGAGUGUAAUAGAAUAUGGUUAUGGGAAAUCUAUCCCAUUUCUCGUUUUAGUACUUUCUAUGUUUGGAUGAUUUUAAAUUGCAGUCUCAUGAAGAGUUUUUUUCCUGUCAUUUUCAUUUUUAUCGUCACUUUUAUUCCUAACGCACCAAACGCAGCCCCAAGACACCUGGAGUUGUUAGCGACGAAUUUUUAUGAUAAUUUUCGGCUCGGGAAAAAAAAUGUGGCGUGAAUUUGUGUACGAAUAGGGUGAGGAGCUAAAAUGAAAAAUAUUUAUUUCCGCUUGAUGUUGUUACUCUAAUCGGUUUGGCAUUGUCUUGUUUCCCUGUCGUAUCGUUUCAAUUAUAUAUAUAAUAAUAAUGAAAAAUAUUUUUCAUAAAAAAUGAAUUAUAAAAUGUGUAAUAUUUAUUUCAAGGUUUAAGAGUUGGGGGUCGGGUCACCCUCCCACAGCCGGACGAACCCAGUAACCGCCAUCCUUAUGUAUAAACCCAACUCAGUAACCGUACCGGACAGUUCUUUAAUAUGUCUAAUUUUAGUAGAUGAUUCUAACGUUCAGGGAAAGAUCUCGCCCAUUAAGCCUUUAUGUGGUUGACCAGAAGUAACCAAUGAGAUUCUAGCAUUUAAUUGGACUUUCGCACCUUACUCCAUAAUAAUCUCGUCUGUUUCCCACUCCUCCUAUCAGAACUGCAUAAUGAUAUAAACGAACAAAAAUGACAUAAAAGAAGAAAAAACCUUCAUUUAUCUUUGGGAAUUUCCUGAAGUUAUUCUGGUUAAUUGUUUUUGCAAUAUCUCCCAAAUCUAAGUUAAACAAAAAAUAAAAAUAGUAAAAGACAUAACUGGAUGGCUAGGUAUUAGGAAUUAGGAUCAGCAUAAAUUUGUCCAAGGAAUGGCCCGAGAAUCUUGCUCGAAGGCAAAGCAUUUUUCUUCCUACGAUUACCGAGAAACGCGACGCCACUUUUUGUCUCUGUAUUGUAGAAUCAUUGUCUUCGGAUUUUUAAAUCCUUGAUGAUGUUGGAAAUUAUCUCUACUCCAUGGACUGGGGAAUUUCUUAAAGAAAAUAAUACGUGGCUUCACCUCGUGCACUCACCCCUUACUUUAUAAUUCUUUCAUAUCUUCAAGUUUAAUGAGAGAUUAAUAUCCAAUGAUUGUCUGCUUGGCACUUUCAUUAUGAUUUGAUGAAUUUGUCCACUUUUCUGUUUUAUCAUAUUUUCUUUAAUUGUAAUCCAUAGCAAGGAGGCGGAGAGGAAGUAAAAGACUCUUAGUUUCAGCAUUUGGCAUUUUGUAAGAGAGAUAUUUUGUUGUCCCUAUCUAUUUAUUUUUCUAUCCAUUUGGUCCAGUGAUACAGUUAAAUCACAAGAAAGUAUUAAUAAUAAUAAUAAUAAUAAUAAUAAUAAUUCACGAGAAAUCAAAUAUGUUUUUAUUUUGAGUUCAAUAAGAAUGUUAUAAUAUGUUUAGAUAUUUUUAUUAAAAGAAUUUAUAAAUUUAAAAGGAAAAUCUAAUAAGGUAAUGGUAUGUUUUAGCGAUUGAGUUUGAAUAGGUCUGAAAUCAAAAUAAAAUUCUCAAAUUGGAACUUCAAAUUCAAAUAAAAUUAUGGAUUAACUCUAACUUCAGUUUUUCAACUUCUUAAAGGCACAAACAAACAUAUAUCUAACAUCCCCAACUCUAAAUCACACAAUCAGAGUUGCAAAACCAAUCCUCAUUGGAAAAAUUUUCCACCUCCCACAUUCUCAACCUCACAUCAGUACAGCCAUGCCACGUCAGAGGAUAGCAUCCAAUCCAACCAAUAGCAGGCAUCCUCUGCAGAUAACCCAUUUCUCCACCCAUCCCAUCCUCCUUUAUCUCAUACAAAUACAAACCACACAAAUCAAAAAACACCACCUCACCGCAAGUCUUCGCUUUCUAUUAAAUCAUCCCCACACCCUCCUCUUCUUCUGAUUUCUUCCCUUGCAACCAGACACACUCACUCAGAGACAGUUGAAGGAAAUGGCCAUCGUCACCUCCGCCGCAGUCGCCAUCCCCUCAUUCACCGGCCUCAAGGCCUCCGGCGCAACCAUGACCCGCGCUGCCGCCACCGUCAAGACCAUCACCGCACCGGCCCCGAGGCUCGUGGCCAAGGCUGCACUGAAGGACGUGGGAGUGGCCGUCGUCGCCACCGCCGCCAGCGCUUUGCUCGCCAGCAAUGCCAUGGCCAUGGAGGUCUUGCUCGGCAGCAGCGACGGAGGCCUGGUGUUUGUGCCGUCGACCAUCACCGUCCCCGCCGGAGAGAAGAUCACGUUCAAGAACAAUGCUGGCUUCCCUCACAACGUUGUGUUCGACGAGGAUGAAGUUCCGUCCGGCGUCGACGUAUCGAAAAUCUCGAUGUCCGAAGAGGAUCUGUUGAAUGCACCUGGAGAAGUGUACUCUGUGACUUUGACCGAGAAAGGUACCUACAGUUUCUACUGUUCUCCUCACCAGGGUGCUGGUAUGGUGGGAAAGGUGACCGUUAAUUAAGUUAGUUUAUAUGAAUGACGAUGAAUUUGCAAGGAACAUCUCAUAUGUUUUCUCCUUUUGUUUUGUUUUUGGGUGUAUGGUAGCUGUUGUUUGUAAUAGAGUUUACCGAUCUGAAUGAAGGGGUGGGUUGAGAAGAUGUAUAAGGUGAGAAGUGAGCUCAUAUUAAAUGCCUUUGUGCAUUCCAAUUUCUUCGUGUAAUUGUAGUUCUGUGUGAUAAUAAACCAAGCUCAUCUUAUACACCACCUAAGAUAAGAUAUCCCCGCAACCCACAAUAACAACUUCCAAUAAAAGAAUUACAAGAGAAAUUCAAAGAAUUCAACAUUCAGUUAGUAAGAAAAUUACAAGGAAUGACAACAUCCAAAGCAACCCUGUAAGCUGUGGAUGAAUUGAUUCUAAUAAGAGCCAAUUUUAUGAAGACAGAUGGGGAGGCUUGGUGGUUAGAGCACUGGAAGGGUGGUAUAAGUUCUCUCCCUCUUUUAGUUCCAAAGAGAUUACAUGGAGAUACAAAUAUGGCAAUUAGUAGGGGUCUAUGCGGUCAUCAAAAUACAGAGAUGAAUGGAGAGGUUAUGUACUAUGUAGUUAGAGCGUUUCAAACAGAACACAUCAAAAUACAGAGAUGAACGGAGAGGUUAUGGACUAUGUAGUUAGAGCAUCUGGAAGAUUACAUCGAGUACCAAGCACCUUACCACCAAAGUCAGGAAAAGUCUCAUGUCCGGGCAAGGGUCUUACCUUCCCGUCAACAUCUACCUGGAUGGGAUAUUUAAGAAGGUGGCCUUGCAAUGGGGUGUAAGCAUCACUUGUGAACCUCUUCCAGUUCUCUUCAGCCAUCUUGUUCACAUUCUUCACACAAUCCAAGGUUUGAGGCUCCUUGAAACUAUUAUUUAUCAUCCCUAGGUGCUCUGCCCACAAGGACAUUCUGUACCCGUAUAUCUGCAAACACAUCCCAUCAGUUCUAUCAAAUUAUCUCUAAGAGUUCAAUUUUUCUAAAUCUUUGUGGCUUCGUUUUGAAUCACAUUGGGCAACAACUUCAUUUUCAUCUUUUUUUUUUAGAAGAUUGUUCUGGUUCAAUAUAAACAGGCUAAAAUGGCACCGCCAACCGGUUGGUGCUAUGUGUACAUUUUUAGAUCCUGUUUGCAACCUAAUUCCAUUUGGUUGUCCCCUUAUAACUGCUUCGUUUAUGUUCUUGUUAACCCGCCUAAAUCUUAUUAUAUAAAUUCAACGGUCUGAAUCUUUUAUUCGACAGGCAUCACUACAGUGCCUUAGUAUUUUCCUAUCAACGAACAUAUCAUGGAUGAUUAUAAGAGGGAAUUCUUAGGGAAACCAAACCAGACAAGAGAAAGUCAUAGAAGCUUCCAGAAGACUGGAAUUUUCUAAAGUAGUGUGGGCCAUUUUAGAAUUGGUCUGAAGUUUCUGGAAUAGUCUGGAAGGCUCUAGAAUACUAUGUGGAACUCUCCAGAAAGAUGUAGGUCAAGGUGGUUUUAAGGUAUUGGUCAGUUGGGCAGGGUCUAGGACAUGCGAGGAAGCAAGUACCCAAAGUUUCAAUUUAGACUAUAUAAACAAACAGCACUACUAUAAAAAAUAACUACAAACCUGGCCAUGUGGAUGUUUCUUCUUCUUGGCCCAAGUGUGGCGAGGCUGAUAUGCACCCAUAGCUAUCUCAGUGUCUCUUGAACCAGCCAUAGAUCUUUGGUUAAUAUUGGCAGACCCCAAUAUCACAUACUCAUCAUCUACUAUCAUUCCCUUGGCAUGUACAUAAAUCAUAAAUCGAUGAAACUUCUUUGAAGUGGAAACCUGAAAGAUUGGUCAUGAAAAAUUAAUUUUUCAAUUCUUAUUAAAUCAAAGAUGAAGAAUAUCAUGCUUUAAGUUUAUAUUGAGUGUUGUAGAACUUCAUGUACUUAGACUCUCCCCCAAAAUAAAUGUUUGAAGAGUUAUUUACCAGACAAACUAAAACUCAGUCUUACAGUGUAAUGGUGGGACAGAAAAGUUGUAUUGCCUACAAGAUAUAUUUUUUACAGUUGAUCAGAACGCCUCUAUUAAACUGAAGAUGCCAGUUUAUCAUCCCAUGCAAGAACAUUGAACUACAAAAGAAUUAGAUAAGCCAAAGGCAACAAAUUGACGGGGUGGCUGUUUGAUGAAACAAAGGUUAAAAAUAUACCAGGCCUGAACCAUCUUGUGUUUUUGCCUGGUGUCGCAUGAACAUAUAUGCUAUAAUCCAAGUUCCAGAUUCCUUUUUUUUUUUCAUAACCGACGUUUGUGAAUUGAUAUUGACAUACAGCAAUCCGAAAUGUUAAAACUAAGAUGUUGACUGCCAAAAGAACAGAUAAUUGAUAUUGAUGGCAGAAGGCCAGAUCAAUUCUGACACUGUGCAGUUAAAAAGCUUAUCAGAUUCCAUCUGAAAUGGGCAUGGACAUUAUCUAGACCAACUAAUAAAGUGUAAGAUGAACAGCAUCCCGGAGACAGUUAUUCCUAAAUGAAACCAUAGUUUCACAAAACUUAUGAAAAUGAAGCAACUCAGAGUUACUAAUUUUUUAUUUUAUUUUAUUUUAUUGGAAAUUAGAUGGUCUAACUAGAAGAAAAUGAGUUUGAAAUUGUAUAAUUACCCCGUCAGAGGCUUGUGUGUUUGAACUUGACACUUCUUUGGGUGGUUCUUCCCGAUUACCAAGACAGUAGAAAUUGAGGUAGUCUUGUGGGUGUGCAUCCUCAAGUUGCAUGGAUUGCAGCUCUUGUGCUAUAAUAUCAUACAUCAUUUGCAUUGUUUGCCCCUGCAGAAGCAAAAUCCCAAUCAAUAUCAAAUAGUAUGCCAAUAAUGUUGCCGGAUGUGUGUCUCACAUAAAUCAUGUAGUACGGGUAGAACUGGUUCAAUGUUUAGAACAAACUACGCCAAGUUAUGAUUAAUAGGGGCAAAAUGUCUAAUAAAGAGCUUUUAUCACAAAUAUUUAAAGAACAUUGGCUCUGAUGUAGAAGCGAAUUCACAACAUUAGAAUGUAUAUACCAUGGCUAUACAUGGCACAAUGAUGUUUACUCAGAAAUCUGAAAUAGAGUUUCAAAAAUUAAUGCAGCAAGAAUGCAACUCCAUUUUGCUUCUUAUAAGAUCACUCAUUAAUAAUUAAAAAGGGCCAACCACUAGCUGGAAAUCGCAAGUUUUAAAAAGCAUAUAAUGAAAAGACACCUGACAAAAAGAGGUCCAAACCAAGUAUAUCCAUGAAGUAGGAUGCAUGAAACAAAUAGAUGAAACUCAAAAUACUCAGUGGUCUAAACAUAUCCCAAAACAUCAAUAAAAUCUAAAAAGGAAAGAUUGACAUGCCCUACCAAAUAUUUUGCCCAAGAGAACAAAGAUCUAAAGAAAUGAUUAUUACCUGGAAGCUGAAGCUUUAUAGUUUAUACUUUAUAGUGAUGUAGUGAUAUAUUGUUUAUAAUAUUACUGAUCAAUCUAAUUUGCUGUAUCAUAAUCAUCAGUUUUCAUGUUGAUCCUGAUGAUUGGGGUUGGAGUUUCCAGCCCACCAAAAAUCACGUCUUCAAUUAAAACAUGAGAUUUGGUACUUUGCUUCUCUAUCAGCCUUCUCCACCUUACAGAACACUCACCUUGCACUAACUAACCUCUUAUCAUCUUCAUUGGAAACAAAUACAUCAAGAAUUUGUGUUAACUUACCUGCCAAAACAAAAUUUCUUGCACAGAGGCACAGGAGGGGUUGCCCUCAGGCCACAUUGGUAUGACAACAUAAACUGAAAAUCUCUCCUUUGCUCUUAUCUUACUAGCAAUCUUUAGUGCCAACUCCAUCGGAAUCAGAUUAUCAGCUCCUGAUCAUACCAAAAACAGCUUAUUUGAGGAAAAAGUUAUUGAAAGAAUGCUUAAAAGUAAAAAGCAAUAUGUAUAGGUAUAUAUAGUCAUACAUAUAAUCAUGACGGCUAACUAAACAUACACAACAUGUGGUAAAGUUUUGAAAAGAGUAGAUGCAAGAUUCAUGAUUUUGAAUGGAAACAUAGUGGUCGCAUGUAGUUUGUGGAAAAUAGGUAUAGACUGUAAAAGCAACAAAGCUACUAAAAAAUAUAAGAAGAAUUUGUGGGAUCCUGUCCUAGUGGUAUAAAAUGAAUAUCUUCGGAUGUAGAAGCUGUAUAUGCUCAGAGUCAUUACAAAGGAGGUCUUCUAGGUUGAGCAACAGAGAUACCAUGCACAAAGUAAGCAUAUUAUGCAAGUAGUUACUAUAGAAGUUUGAACCUGCGUUUUUAUAAGAUGGCCACGCAUAAGAAGAUCCAAUAAAAUACUGAUUCUCAAUAUAGAUGAAGUGUUGGGCAGAUCUGAUUGCCUGGAUGUAUGCUGUUUGAAUGCUCUUGUCUAUCACCAAGUUUUUUGCACAGACUAGGUUCUGCAUUAAAAGAGGAUAUCAUAUAGUUUGCCAAUUACCGCGACAGAGAAAUACAAAGAUUUGAUAAGAUUGAUGUACAUCUUAAUUAUAAGAGUAAUAUGUCCCUAGUCUUGUAUAAAUUGAAUUUUUCACUUGCUUAUUUUAUAAAUAAUAUAUAUAGAUACCUGAGCCUCAGCUGAAGGAACAUCUUUGGGAAAUCCUCUCAAAGAUCCUGAAUCUAUAGAUCUAAAGACCUGCAAUGUCAAAUAACAAUCUAAGAUUUAGUAACAUCAACAAAGGAUCAAAUUAUGGAAUGCUUUGGCUAGAAGUGCAUACAGAUUAACCUGAACAUGCCAAUUUUCAGGAUCAUUUUCUUCAGAAACCCAUAAGCUAGGAUCAUCAUAUGGAACAGAUGGGGAAGGGCUAAGUAUCCAUGAGAUGCGCUCUAACUUGAUUAAGGCAUCUUCAUGCCAAUGAGUUAUCCUUUUGAAACGUCGCCCAAACUCUGACCAUUUUGUGGCUUUUCGCCAACGCUGCUCAAAGUUUGUAAGCACGUCAUAUGCAGCAGGCCCCUCAAUUUUGCAAUGCAAAUCGUGCCAUGGUUGCCUUGGACCCUUACUUACUGCCUAUUAUCACAAAGAAAAUGAGAAGAAUAUUCAUUCACAAAAAUUAAAGAACAUGUUGUAUCAGUUCAAGAGACUAAACAGAACAUUUGCAACAAAUGUCAUUGUAUGCACUUCUAUAAUGAGAAAUCAUGCUAUUCCAUGCUAUUAUGGUAUUGUUGACAUCUAAAAUAUAAAAAAUUC
RNAcentral lists this long non-coding RNA (70506 nucleotides) under Vitis vinifera (wine grape). Lineage: Eukaryota; Viridiplantae; Streptophyta; Magnoliopsida; Vitales; Vitaceae. The record is from RNAcentral.